Molecule: long non-coding RNA, 86920 nt
Filed under: Ananas comosus (pineapple)
Lineage: Eukaryota; Viridiplantae; Streptophyta; Magnoliopsida; Poales; Bromeliaceae
Description: long non-coding RNA (ACOM_LNC020188)
Source: RNAcentral
CCAUCUUUUAUUAUCUUCUCGCACACCAGGCAGGGUUAAUUUCAUACAGGUUCCUACAAAUAUAGUGAAUGAAAAAUAUAUCCUUACAAAGUUCAACUUUCAUAUGUUCUCACUACAAAAGUUCUGAUGUUUUCAAAUAUGUCUUUUUGAUUUGUUACUGUUAGAGAACUGUUUAUAUUUUCAAUUUUGUCAUCACAAGUAUAUCCCUCCAAAAUCCAUAACAGUAUAAUAUAAAAAAGUAAAAAUAUGAAAAACUAACCAGAGUUACGCAGUUAACCUAUGGUUAACUAAAUUUAUCUAACGGAUUCUAACAGUAAGAAUAUAUUUGAAAACAUCAGAACUUUUGUAGGAACACCAUAUAAAAAUUAAACCUUGUAGGAAUAUAUUUGUCAUUCGCUAUGUUUGCAGGAAUCUGUAUGAAAUUCACCCAUAUAUAAAAGGGAAGAUACAGACAACGAGAUCAAUCUCAAUUGAUCAAACCCAAUCUAUUCUGUCUAUAACAAAUGACAAAAUUAUCAUCUUAUGUAGAGAAUUUGUGUUCACAAAAUUACAAAAAAUCAACUCUCUAUCUUCUAAGAGGAUUUGAGUCCUAUCUUGGUUCCACACUUCUUGGCUUCUACAAUAUUAAUGCCAAUUCCAAUUCCUCAAAUAAAACAAAUAAAAAAAUAGAAAACUAAUCCCAUUCUCUGACACACCCCUCCAAAAAAAAAAUAAAAAUGAUAGGUUUGCAUGUCAAUCUCCUAGCAUUGUAUUAAUGCUACCCAAUAGGCCAACAUUGACAUAUUUAAUUAGAACAACAUUCAACUUACAAUCUAUUGUUAAAUAUGAAGUUAAAUCUAAGAUGCGGAUUCUUCUAGGUCACACUAGGUUGAUUUGACAAUUAAUAUUAUUAAAUAUAAUUUAAAUUAUUUAAGUUUUAUAUAAAUUAAACUUUAUGAUAUCAUAAUUAUUUUUAUAUAAUAAUCAGAGUAUUAUGAAUUAUGCUGGUGGUACACUUAAAACUAGGUUGUAGAUUUUAUAUCCCUAUCUAUUGGAUGAAUAAGGUGUAAAAUUUAUAAUAAAAAAUAGGCAUAUAAGUAGCAUUUAUCAUUAUAAAUUAAAAUUAAUUUCAUACAUAUCCUUCCUCCAAUCUUUAAUUACAUAGAUAUUCCUCUCAAAAUAUAAAUUUAAAAAGAAUAAUUAUCUAUAUACCCCUCAAAAUUUUACAAAUAUCUAAUUUGCCUUAUUUUCUUUUGUGUUUUCUUUUUUUUUUUUUGAGAGAUAGGUAGUACGCUACCUGCUUCGUUUAUUUCAUUUAGAAAUAAAUUUAGCUAAAAAUGUGAAUCAACUAGGAUUCGAACUUAGGUCUCGGAUACCAACCAUCAAGCCCUUUGCCACUUGCUCUAGGGACGGUUGGUUUUUCUUUUGUGUUUUCAAUAUACCAUUCAUAUGUUUCUUUGUUAUUCAAAAAUACCCCCGCAGUUACCACCCGCUAAGUUAUCUCAAAUUAAACGUGAGUUAAAUAUCUAUCAGAGUUAAAAAAAAUAAAAUAUCUCUUUUGUCUCUAACUCAAGGGCAAGUAAAAAUGUUAGUGAUGAUAGAACAUAUAUUUGAAAUGACCAAAAAUUAAAAUACUUCUUUUGCUCCUAACUUAAGGACAAAUAACAAAAGUUGGUAAUAGUAGAAGGUAUAUUUGAAAGGAGUAAAAUAGUAAUUUUAAAAAGAUAAAAACUAUUGCCAACAGUUCACUAACACAGUUUAAUUCUAGAAAUAUAUUUGAAAUAAUUUGAACAUAAAAAAGGUAUUUCUUAUAAGAUUAAUUCAUACAGGUCCCUGCAAAAUAGUAAAUUGUAAAUAUAUUCCUACAAAGUUCAACUUUUAUAUAUUGUUCCUGUAAAAGUUCUGAUGUUUUCAAAUAUGUCCCUCUAGUUAGUUACCAUAUCACUCACAGAUUAUUUAAUAGGAAAAUGUACGAAAAAUUAUCAUAAUAUCCAAACUGGUAAUAAUUUAUUAAAAAACAACAUAACAUUUUUUUUGUUUUGUCCAUCAUCUAUUAUCUAUAUCAUUUUAAUUAACAUAAAUACUAUUUUGUUUUAAAAUAUUAUAAAUACAAUUCAAUUUAUACUAAUCUAAUUGCAACAAACUACACUAUAUAAAUAGUAAAUAAAAAAUCAUAUUAAUUUAGAUAAAGAGAAAAAAAGAUUAACAAAAAAUAUAUAUAAUAUAUUUUUAGUUUCAGCUAAUUUUUUAUUAUGAUUAACAUGAGAACCAUAAGAUAUUGAUAAAAAAAACUUGAGUACGCAAAAAAUACAUUUUAUAAAUUGAAUUAAAGUUAGUUUUUGCUAAAAAAUAAAUUUAUUAGCCUUAUAUAAUACGACACAAUUAUUAUAAUUAGAAAUAGCUAAAAGUAAAUUAGUCUAAAACUCUAAUCAUUGUAAUGGAGGGCAUUUUUGAUAUAAUUCAUUAAUUUAUAAGGGUAAAAAUGAUGUGAACAAUUUUAAAUGAGUAUCCACAUGAUUUAUAACUUUUGAGGGACACGUUUGGAAUUACACUAUAAAUUAUAUAAAAUUUUCAAGCUAUUAAAAUAUUAAGUAAAUGAUGUCAAAAUUUUUGCUUUUGAAAUUAUUCAGAUAAUCUAAAUUACAUUUAACAACGCACAUUAUUCUUUGAAACACAAUACAAAUUAAGACUCCCCUAUUAUAGGCCAUUUUUAAAUUAAUUGCUCAACUUUUAUUUUGUUUCGGUAAAAACGUUCAGAACUUAUCUGAAUUACAAACUAUUUUAAUUUAAUUAUUCAAUCUUUUAAAAUUUAAUUUUACUGACCAAACUUUUGAUUUGUUAGAUUUGAGUUAGUCAACGUCGCUUCGACUUCAAUAUGUAAAUUAAUUAUGUUUUAAUAAAUUUAUAAUUGUGAGAAUUAUAUGAAAUAUAUUCACAAAAGCUGUAAAGAUAAGCUACGCAUUCAAAUUUUGAAAUUACAUAUAUAACAAAUAACUUACUUCUUUUAACUUUUGAUUCAAAAAAAUUAAGUGAAUUUUAAUAAAUUAAAUUAAAAUUUAAAUUAAUAUUAUUAUCUAAUCUAUUAAAUUUAACAAAAUUCUAAUUAUUUUAUAGGCAAUAAAUUAAAAAUAAUUAAUAAUAAUAAAUAGUUAACAGAGUCAUGAGCUGAGAAAACAAAUCAGCCUAAGUCAGAAAUUUAGAAUAUGUGAAUGAAAGAAUAAGAAAAUUGAGAAGCCUAUUUGAAAAAUGGGCUCUAGUUAAUGAGACUAAUUCAUACUUUUCUUCUUUUUUUUUUUUUUUUUUUACUUACAUAAAUUUAUUAAAUAGAAUAAACAGAAAAUGACAUGAACAUAAUUUUUUUUAGGAUAAACUUCAGAUACCACUCCUGUGGUUUCGCACUUUCUCAUUUUAGUACCCUGUAAUUUAAAAUGUAUCAAGUUAGUGUCAUGUGGUUCCAUUUUUAUGUUUUCGUCAGUUCUUCGUUAAUAUUUCGUUAAAUUAUAUAAAAAAAGCUUCAGAUACUCUACCUAGGUUUAUCAAAUAUUCACUUUAGUAUUCUUUAAUUUUAACUUUGUCACUGAUUUAACGAAAAAAUUUAGUAGAAUCGAUAAUAAAAAUAUAAAAAUAAAAUCACAGGAUACUAAAUUGAUAUACUUUAAACCACAGAGUAUUAAAGUGAAAAAGUGUGAAACCAUAUAGGUGGUAUUUGAAGUUUAUUAUUAUUUUUUUUUUAUAUAUAGUUUACUCAUAUAUGAUUACUCACCUACCAGUUAGUGCACUUAAGGUUUUUUUUUUUUUUUUUUAAAGAAAAUUUGUGAUAUUAUCGAAAGUUGCAGCUAAGUAGGCUAGAGCUAGGUGGUUGAAAAAAAUUGAAUUUAAAAAAAAAAAAUGUGCGGUGAAUGUGAUGGCUUGGUGCACCUGGUUCAUUACGUGGUGCGCCCGGUUCACUUAACAGUUUCUUCUUGUAACGCUGAGGCAUAUUAUAUGAUCACCAUAAUGAUCAUCAAUCUACCUUUUUUUUUCAUUAGGUCAUUAAUCUAAUUAUUGAAGCCUUUUGCUGAUUGAUAUAAUUUUUUGGUCAAAGUAAGAUGGUAAGUUUGCUUGUAAAAGAUGUCACGCCACAUAAAUGCACAAAAGAAUAUAUAAAUAAUUAUUUAUUGUAUUGAUUAAUUUUAUUUACUUUUUUAUAUUUUUAGCGUCUUAUUUUAUUUUUUCAUUUCUUCUUUUAUGUUAAAUAUAAAAAUAUUUAAAAUCGCUAUCUUUUAAUUUAAAUUUUUAGAGUACAAUAAUUAUUUUACGUAGUAUUAGAGUAGAAAAUUUUGAGUUUGAGUUACGGCAAACUCCUUAAUGCUUCCGACCAAGAAAACGAAUUAUUCAAAAAACAUAAAAUUUUGUUAACAAAGAAUAAAAAAAUAAACUUUUAAAACAAUUUUACUAAGAGAGAGAAUCAAAAUUCUUAUUUAUUACCAGCAAUGUUAUUUUUGCUACUACACAGUAUAUAUGGAAGAAUCUAUGUUAUGCUAUACUUUAUUAACUUGUUACUUCUCACCAUUAUUCGCAAUCAUUGUCGAUCACCAUUGUUGCUGCUAUAUUGUUACUUGAUGCUCUCCUCAGUAGUAUCGUUGUUAUCGCCGCUGCAAACGUUACUGCUAGUGGUAUCACUAGUACCAGAUACUACUAUACUGCGUAACUCGUCGGCGAAAUUUUGAAUGUUCCGAUCGGACGACCCGCCCUCCGCGACGGCAGCUGCCGCCGCCUCCUUCCACUUGGCGGCCCGCGCCCUCAUCCCCUCCGCCUCCGGCCGCCGCACCCCGACUCCGUAAACGUCCACCAGAAACUUGGCGUUCGUGACCUGAUCCCCCCACUGCGGGAACGCGAUCACCGGCAGCCCUGCCGACAGUGCCUCCAGCGUCGAGUUCCACCCGCAGUGCGUCAGGAAGCACCCGACGGCCGGGUGGCUCAGCACGCGGUCCUGCGGACUCCACCCGACCACGAACCCUCGACGUCCCACAUCCCCCUCGGUUGUUGUCAAACCUUCCAGAAAGUCCUCCGGCAGCAAGCCGCGGCUCUCCUGCCGGACGACCCACAGAAACGGCCGGCCGGAGUCCCGCAAUCCCCAGGCCAUCUCUGCCAUCUCGUCGGCCGUCAGCACGACGACGCUGCCCACCGAGACGUACGCGACAGACUGCCUUUCCUGCGCGUCGAGCCACGACAUGCAGUCGUCGGCGGGCGUUAAGAGGUCCCCGCGGAAGGGGUCGGUGAGCGGGCCGACGGGGGUGAGGGGGCGGAGGGAGGAGAAGGCUGCGAUAGCGUCGUGCUCGAGCUCGUUGAAGGAGUUGGCGAGCAGCCAGCGGGCCUUCCCGAGGUUGCCGAAGCUGGCGAGGAUGGUGUCGGCGAGGAGUUUGUAGGGGUUGGAAGGGUGGAGGAAGGAGGGGACGUCGGCGGCGGAGAGCGGCGGGAGGCCGGGGAGGGAGACGGGGGGGUCGGAGUCGGAGAGAGGGAAGGCUGCCAGGCGGUGGUGGUAGUGGUAGUAGGCCGAGAAGACCGCGCACGACUGCACCCAGAGGACGGCCGCAGGGAUGCCGAGACCUUCCGCGACGUCGAGCGCCCACGGCAGGAACGGGCUGCCGACGACGCAGGUGACGGGGACGGUCUGGCGGCGGAGGAGCGCGGCCAGGGAGGGAGGGCCGGCGGACGCGAGGUGGCGCAUGAGGUCGUCGAGUGCUGCCAGCGGGCCGGACGGCUGGUCGGAGAGGAAGUCGAAGCGGAAGUUCGGAAGGGGAGAAACAUCGGAGGAGGAGGAGAGGAGGCGGGCGCCGAUGUCGGAGGUGGAGGUGAAGGUGACGAGCAGGCCCUUCGCCGCCAGGCGCCGCGCCAGGCGGAGCACCGGGUUCACGUGGCCCUGCCCCGGGAAUGCGAUCAGAAGCACAUGCGGCGAAGUCGCCGCAGCAGCAGACGACGACGACGACGACGACGACAAAGAGUCUUCUCCCAUAUUAUAUAUGCUCGUUAAAAUUAGAGUAGAGUGCAGCGAAAAUUUACAAACUAAAUACGUAGUAGGUCUGUGGGCGUGGUAGAGACGGGGGCAAUAUAAAUGAGAGGGGCGAUGUAGUAGGUGUGUGGGUGUGGUAGAGAUGCGGGCAAUAUAAAUGAGAGGGACGCUGGGGAAAGUGCGUUCGGGCUGAGGGAAAUGGAUAGGAUUGUUAAUGACCAAGCAGUUUUUUUUUUUUAAUUUUUUCCUUUUGUCUUCUGUGAAAGGCAAUGAUGUAUGCAGUGUUUUAUUUGCAAUAACUUUUAUAUAUAUGUAUAUAUAUAUAUUAUUUUUUUUUUUGUUAUAUAGUAUAUUAUAUAGAGCUAGCUGACUAUAUAUCUAUAUCCGAGCUCCGGUAUACGAUUAUAGUAUUUGGUUUUCGAUCUGGUGGAGGCGUUCAGAAUCAACGAUCCACACGUUAAAAACUGGGAGUGCGGGUAGGGGUAUUUGAAAGUUCCAGAAAUAAAAUUUAGGUAGUAGUUUUUCAGCAUAGUUUUACUUUUGAGAGUCGAAACUAUUUCAAAAUUAUGCGAGUGAAUGGGUGGUGGUAGGGUGAUGAGUUUGGAGGGUUUACGGGGUAGAAGAUAUCUAAUUUCUUCGAACUUUGGGAUAGAAAGAUGUAUUUUAAACGGUUGGUGAGUGAGGAUGUCAAGGUGUGACAUUCGUGGACGUUGGAGAUUUAAAGUGCGGUGAGGUAGUGCAGAGAGUGUAGGGAAGAUUACUUUAAUUUCACCGGCCAUUUGAUAUAAGUUGAUUUACUACAUAAACGAGUAUCGAAAAAAACUAAAAAUUUUUAUUCCUAGAAAUUCAUAUACCCUAGAUCAUAUUUAACGGUGUGGGAUCGUUGAUGUUGACGCGUAAGAUCGGAAAACGAAACGACUAUUGAGUACCGGAGCUCGGUACUAUAGAUAGUAUAGGUAACCGAAUUAUAUUAUAGUAUAUAUAUAUAUAUCAUAGUAUAUGAUUUAUAUAGUAUUAUAUAUAGUAUAUAAUAUAUAUAUAUAAUAGGUAUAUAUUAUAUCAAUAUAGUCCGCUAUGGUGCGUUGUAAAAGCCCCAGCACUUGUGCUUGUAAGUUUCUUUACCGUUAAGAUCUACUUCUCGGAAUCAUUUUCAACCAUUAAAUUAAGAUUGAUACUAUUCAGCACACCCACUCUACUCAACCCUGGACGGGGGGCCCACAUCUCCUCACCGCAUAUGCUCUUAAAUCCAAUUGGAUAAAAAUCUACAACGACCAAUAACUUGGUACUUUAAAGUAUGGAGCUGCAUUUAGUAUACAUAUAUAGGUGCGGCUCUAUACUCUUGAAUGAGUAUAGAGCCUCUUGUACUAUAGUUUUUUUACCUUUUAUUUUUCUUUACUCCCUUUUUUUUUAAUUUUUUCCCAAUUUUUUACGUUUUAUAUUAUACUAUCAACCAAACUCACCAACUCAACCCUUAGGUCUCACUAUAUACUUAACCGAAUCACUCUCAUUCUAAUCUGCACAUUUUUUCAUCCUAACUUCCUAAAUUAUAUUAUUACAAUAUUAUCUCUAAUACUCAUAUAUUAUAUUAUCCCCAUCCUAAUAUAUUAUAUACAUAUAUAUAAUAUAUGUUAAUAGUAUUUAUAUAAUAUAUUAUUAUUAUAUAUAUAUGUAGUGUGGUGUGUGUUGUGAGUAUGUUGUGUGAGUAGGGUUAGGGUUGUGUUAUAUGGAAUUUUAUUAUUGUGUGUGUUUUGUUGUAAGGUGGGUCAUGCUGUCUUGUUCUGUCUGAGUAGGUUUGCUGAGGAGGUGCGUUUAAGUGUUGAUUCUUUUGUGGUUAUCUUAGAGUAUGCUUGUUGUGUGUGUGUGUUGUCUAGUGUGUUGAACGUGUGGACUGUGACUAACGGGUACCGCCAUGCUUCAGCCAGGGUGUGGGAGUACAUCUCGAGGUCCGCGAGUGAUCUCGUCGAGUUCAUGUUAUGUUGUGAGGCCCUCGCGGGGGCGGGUAGAGGUAGUUUUUUUAGGUGAUGGUGGUCUUGAGGACGGGGUGGUGUGAGGGGGUGGUGGGUGUUAGGUGAUAUUGUGGGGGGGUUAGUAUAUAUAUAUAUAUAAAAUCAAAAACACCACAUUAAAGAACUAUAUACAAUAAUCAAAAACACCACAUUAAAGAACUAAUAUAGUUUUCUUUUUAAAAAAUUUGGGAAAUUUCAAAUACCAUCCGUAAUUUUACAUUUACUCACUUUAGUAUCUUAUAAUUUACAGUAUAUCAAUUUAAUAUUCUGUGGUUUUAUUUUUCUCUUUUUAUUAUCAAUUUCACUAUUUUUUUUGUUAAAUGAGUGACAAAGUUAAAACUAAAAGGUACUAAAGUGAAUAUUCGAUAAAUUUAAGUGGAAUAUCUGAAGUUUUUUAUAUAUAAUUUGAUAAAAUAUUAACAAAUGAGCUGACGAAAAAAAAAAAAAUGAAACCACGGGACACUAACUUGAUACAUUUUAAACUAAAGGAUACUAAAAUAAGAAACUGCGAAACCAAAAGAGUGGAAUUUGAUGUUUACCCUAUGGAUGCGUUUGGUUCGCAUUAUAAAAGAUUACUAGGAAUGAAAAGAUGUCCGAGAAUUUUAUUCCUAUUCAUUCUAUUACUAAGAAUGUGAAAUUCCUGUAUUUGGUUCGCACGGUCAUAUUAUUUAGCCAUAUUAUUUAUGGUUACAAAAAAUAUACUAUUUAUUUAUUUAUUUAAUUAAUUAAUUUUAGAUAAUGCUAUCAAAAAUUUCAGCAUCUUUUUUUAAAAAAAUGAGAGAGAGUAUAGGUUAGAGAGAGCAUAAUUAAAAAAAUACAAAGAGAAAUAGAGUCGAAAUUAGAGGGAGUGAGAGAGUUGAGAUUUUAGAAAAAGAGGAAGAGAGAAAGCUUAGUUUAGAGAGAGAAAAAUAGUUGAAUUUUAGAGAGAAAGAUAAGUUUAGAGAGAGAUAUGAGAUUAGAGUGUAAAGAAAAAUAAUACCAAUUAGCCGGCGGAUAGGGAGAAAGAAAGAGAUUAGACAUAUUAUGAUUAUUUCAAUCCAUUAAUAUGAGGAUACCCAUCCUCUCUCAAAGGAAUGAGAUUAGUACUUUAGGAUGAAUUUUAUUCCCAAAUAAAUCUAAUAUUACCAAUUAGAUUACUUAGUACCUUUAGUCAAACACCGUCAUAUUUUUUUAUUUCUAUUGGAUUAUUAAAAAUCUUUAAAAGAUAGCGCGAACCAAACGCACUCUAUAAAUUUUGUAUGAGUUACGUUUGUAUAUACUAACUGAUAUUAAAUACUGUAUAUUAAAUACUGUAUAUAAUAGUUAGUUGUUGUUGUCUAAGUAAAGCGAUAAAGCAAUUUAAAAAAGAAAAAAACACCUUGGAAUCUACAAAUUUUAUUUGAAUUUUUAUAAAAAUAAUAUCAAAAACUGUCCUGAUUAUUAAUUAGAAAAAGGGCAUUGAAAAAAGUGGAUGGAUAUAUUAUUAUUUGAUUUUAAAUAUGAGUUUAUUACUGAUCUAAUGCUAGCUACCUUCCUAGCGAAAAAUUCUAGAAUGCAACGGGUAUAUUAGUGACGUGGCGUAACAAAUCAAUCAAAUUAAUUCUUUUAAGAAUAUAUGUCCCAUCAUGAUUGUAAAAAAAUAUUUUUAUUAUACUUUUGUUUGGAAAAAAAGAAUAUGGUUGACUUAUUAUUAAUGACGUUGUGCAAGUGUGAUAGUGUAGAAUUCCUCCUUCCAGGUUUACCGAAACUGAACAGAGCCGUGUCAUGGAGGGCAAGAAUAUUUUAUUGGAAAAAAUGUACAAUCUGCAAACGUCCGGACACAGCUGAUCCGUGCACAAAUGGGUCUGUGGUUUCGAGAAGCGAAAAACGUGGGGCGGGGAAAAGCACUCACAGGAAUAUACUGUUUGUCUACUCUGAAUAACAUUUUUCCAUUUUGGACUCUCAAUUAGCACGUAUCUAUUUACUAUAUACUAAAGUAAAAUUUUUUAAAUAAUACUAUCACGUGACUUUUUAUAUAUUUAUCAUAUAUCAAACUCAAAUAUAAAAUAGCAAUUUUAUUAGAAAAUACUAUUAAAUCAAAUUAAAUCAAAUUAUAGUAAUUAACAAAUUAUACCAAUUAAAUAUAAUCAUAUAUACAAUUAGGAAACACUAUUAAAUCAAAUUAAAUCAAAUUAUACCAAUUAAAUAUAAUUAUAUAGAGCAGGGCUGCUGUGCUCUUAGGAGCACAUAGGCCUCCGUGCUCCUGAGCUAUUUUCGAUGAUGAAAUUUUCGAAUCGACGAUCGGCUCCGUUAGACUUGAUCUAGCACAUUUGAAGUUUCUAGAAAAUAAUUUUUGCGAUUUUUUGAUAUCAUUUACCUAGUGAUCGAAAGGAUUCAAAAUCCAUAGUUUUUAAUGAUUGAUAUCUGCCGUUUUCAAGUUUAACGGUGUAGAAGUAUUCAAAUUAGAUGAAAUUUUGAUACAAAAUUCUUUAUACUAUCUACAACAAGAUCAAUAUUUCUGAUCGAAAAUUGUAGUGCUAUAUCACCACUUUUUAUAGGAUUUUUAUUUUCAGCCGUUAAAAAUUAUUGAUUUUGAAUCCUUUCGAUUGCAAGGUAAAUAAUAUCGAAAAAUCGCAAAAAUUAUUUUCUAGAAACUUCAAAUACACUAGAUCAAGUUUAACGGAGCCGGUCGUCGAUUCGGAAACUCCAUCAUCGAAAACGGCUCAGGAGCAUGGAGGCCUCCGUGCUUCUUAGAGCACAGCAGCCCUGCUCUAAUUAUAUAUACAAUUAGAAAACACUAUUAAAUCAAAUUAAAUCAAAUUAUAUCAAUUAAAUAUAAUUAUAUAUAUAAUUAGAAAAUACUAUUAAAUCAAAUUAAAUCAAAUUAUACCAAUUAAAUUAAGUGUCUAUUAAAAGAAUUACGAUUCUCAUCUCUUUUUAGAGGAUGCACUGUUUUUGGGAACCCAUUGUUGUGCCAUAAGUCAAGUUUUUGCUAUCUUCAACAAGAAGUACUGCAUGAAAUUUCUUUUCGAGUUUUUUUUCAUUGUUUCUUAAUAUUCUCUAUGUGCCAUGCACCUAAUUAUAAAUAUUGCAUAUCACUUCUCUACUAUCACUUUUUCUGUAAUUUUCACUUCGUUUUAAUAAUAUUCGGUACAUUUCAGUUAAGUGGCUAUUGAGCAGUUUUUCUUAAUUCUUAGAUGUUGAUGCUUGAAAAUAGAACAUAUUGUUUUCAUUUUAUUAUUUAAAUACGAAACAAGUAUUAAUUUUUUUUUUUUCUGGAUGUCUUAUUGUUCUCAGGAUAUGUCACUUGAGUUUGAUUUUAUAAGUGACAUCACUCCUCUUGGAGACAAAUGGAAGAUCAAAGUUAGAGUGAUUUGUCUGUAUACUAUGCCUGAAUUUCAUCGUCCAGUGAUGGUGAAUAGUCUAGACUUAGUUCUUUCUGAUCAAAAUGUAAGAUACGACUGUUAUUGAAGCAGGUACUUUCAUCUUCAUGCAACAAAGUUUUUUUUUCCUUCAUAUUUUCUUGAAGACCAACAUCUAUAUAUAUUUGAAUCUUGGAAGUUGGUAUGUCUCUCAUAUACGUAUGCUUACUCUAAUUUGUGUCAAACAUGAAAGUUUAGUUGAUCUGAUUAUAUGAUUAAAUAUUAAUGUCAUUUGUAAUUUUUCACAUCAAUUUGAGUUCUCAUUUUGUUUUGUACAUCAAUAUGAAAAUGUAAAUUAUUUUGUACACCAAUUCAUAGAUAAUAGAACAGGGUUGAAUUUUUUAUCUUUACCUGAGUAUUUAUUUUGAUCCAUAAUUUUGUUUUUCUAGCUUUUAUACUUUAAUAUGUACUAUAAUUAAGAUUGAUAGUAUAUUUCUUUAUUUGUUAAAAAAAUAUAAUAUUAAUUAUAAUGUUUUUCUUUUAUCAUCACAUAAUAACUUUUGUUAUUUUAUAUUAGGGUUAUUUGCAUACACGUCGCUGCAAACAUAGUAAAUUGUAGAAAUAUUCCUGCAAAACGAAAAUUUCAUAAGUUGUCCCUACAAAAAUCAUAAGUUAUGCAGAUUUGUCUCUGCUGUUAGAGUCUGUUAGAGAAAUUUAGUUAACCACAGUUAAACUACUUAACCACGACUAGUUAAUAGUGUGAAUUUACGGUUCUACCCUUCUUCCUCAUCGUUCUCUUCCUUUUCCCUCUUCUUCAUCGCCGGCGACGAGAUGCGGCGACGGCGGCGACGUCGGCGAACCCUCUCCCUCUUCCUCUUCCCUCUUCUUCUUCCUCUCCCUCUUCCUCUUUCCUCUUCCUUUUCCCCUUCCUUCUUCCUCUCCCUCUUCCUCUUCCCUCUUCUUCGUCGCCGGCGAGGGAGAAGAUGCGGCGGCGGCGGCGGCGGCGAACCCUCUCCCUCUUCCUCUUCCUCUUCCUCUCCCUCUUUCUCUUCGCCCUUCUUCUUCCUCUCCUUUUUUCUCUUCCCUCUUCCUCAUCGCCGGCGAGGGAGGAGGUGAUUCGGCGAAGGCUGUGGCGGGGGCAAACCCUCUCCCUCUUCCUCUUCCUCUUCCUCUUCCCUCUUCCUUUCCUUCUUCCUCUUCCCACUUCUUCUUCCUCUCCCUCUUUCUCUUCCUUCCUCUUUGUCGCUGGCGAACCCGACCCCGCGUCGCCGCCGUUGUCCGCUCUGACGGCCCGAAGAGGAAGAGAAAGAGAAGGGGAAGAGGAUACUUUUGGAGGGAUAUAUUUGUGAGGGCAAAACAGUCUUUCACAAGAAAACUAUUAAAAAAUAAACAGUUCACUAACGGAAUUUAACGAAAGGGACAUAUCUGCAUAACUUAGGACUUUUGCAGGGACAACUUAUGGAAUUUCUGUUUUGUAGAGAUAUUUCUGUAAUUCACUAUAUUUGCAGGGACAUGUAUGCAAAUAACCCUUUAUAUUAUUAUGUUAGUCGUGCAUCGCACGGGUCAAAUACUAGUGGAUUAUAAUUAUUAUAGCUUAUAUAUAGAAUUAUGCUCAUAUAUUAUCGAUAGUAUCAAUCGCUUGAUGUUAUCAAUUUUUCAACCGUUGAAUAAAAGAAUGUUCUGAUUAGGAUGAUAGUGGUCUCUUAGAGUUGAUUGGGUGGUUGGUUGAAUAGUAUAAUUUAACGGAUAAAAAUGACCAAAGAGUAGAUAUAGCGCCAGAAAACUCGAUAGUACCAAAAACUUUGUACUAUCGAUAGUAUAAUAGCCGGACUCUCUCUCUCUCUCUAUAUAUAGAGAGAAAGAGAGAGAGAAAGUUGAGUUGGAAUACUAUUAAUAGUAUUUUAGCUCUUUUGCUAUCAAUUUUCUAGCCGUUAGAUCUACACUUUAAUAAAUUCCACCCGUUAGAUCAUACUAUUCAACCAACCACCCAAUCAACCCUAGAACAUCACUAUCAUCCUAAGCCUAUAAUUAUUGAUCCAAGGUUAAAAACUAUAUAGUAAAAGAGCUCAAAUACAUUAAUAGUAUUCCAGUCCAAUUAUAUACAUAUCUAUAUAGAGCUAGUCUCCUAUACUAUCUAAAGUAGCGGAGCUUCAGUACUAUAGUCUCGUUUUCGAUCUUAGGGUGUUCAAAUCAACGAUCCACAUCGUUAAAACUGAUCUAGUGUAUUUAAAGUCUUUAGAAAUAAAAUUUUAUAUUUUUUCGACAUAGUUUACUUUAUGAUCAAACCAUUUCAAAAUUGUCAAUUUUCAAUGGCUAUUAUGGCGAGUUUGGAGUUUAACGGCAUAGAAGAAUCUAAAUUUCUUCAAAUUUUGAUAAAAAUACUUUAAACUAUCUAGAUUAAGGUUAACAUUCUUGAUCUUGAAUUUAAAAAUCCUAUACUCAAAUUUUAAAGAUUAUUCAAUUUUCGCUAUCCAUUUUGACAUAAUUUAUUUACUAAGUAAACGAUGUCGAAAAAAACUAAAAUUUUAUUUCUAAGAACUUCAUAUACUCUAGAUCAUAUUUAACAGUGUGGAUCAUUAAUUUGAACACCCAAAGAUCGAAAACAAGACUAUAGUACCGGAGCUCCGGUACUAUAGAUAGUAUAAUAGCCUAAUUCUAUAUAUAUAUAUAUAUAUAUAUAUAGAGAGAGAGAGAGAGAGAGAGAGAGAGAGAGUCCGGCUACUAUCGAUAUACUAUCGAUAGUACCAAAUUCUUAGUACUAUUGAGUUUUCUGCUGUUACAUCUACCUUUUGAUUAUUUCCAUCCGGUAAAUUAUACUAUUCAACCAACCAAUCACUCAACCUAGGGGACCACUAUCGAUAUUAUAGUAGUAUAAUUCUAUAUAUAAAUAUAUAUAGAGAGAGAGAAAGAGAGUUCGAUUAUAAUGCUUUUAAAAGCAGCAAGUACUUAGUACUUGUAAAUUUUCUACCAUUAAAUCUAUUCUUUUACCAUUUUCACCUGUUAGAUCAUACUAUUCAACCAACCACCCACUCAUCCCUAAAGGACCACUAUUAUCCUAACCGCACUUCCCUUCAUCCAAGGGCAGAAGAUGUAAUGGUACAAAGAGUUUGGUGUUAUUAAUAGUAUAGUAACCUAAUUCUAUAUAUAUAUAAAAAAUCAUAUGGAACAAUGACCCGAAAAUGUUAUUGAGUCAAGGCUCGCUAGCUCUACCAAUGAGUCAACCACUUGUUAAACCAAUGACAUCAUCAUGAUGUUAUAAAUAUUUUAAUAAUUAUUUUUAAUUUUGUUAUAUAUAAGAUAAUACAUAUAUUAUUAUUUUAGCUUCAUAAAAUAUUGAUUUCUAGACCAAAUUAAAUGGGUAUAAGUUUUUUAAUUUCAAUUUUUAUAAAACCUAUAUAUGCUAAAAGAAAAUGAAAUUAGUUAAGUUGAAUUUAAGCGGUUGGAUUUUAAUAUGACUUAAUUAAAAAAUUCUGGCCGGUUUAAUUAAAACCAAAUCCAUUCACAUGUAUCGUCUGUUCGAACAGUUCAAAGCAAUUUUUUUGGCUUAUAGAUUGGAUCAUAAUCAAACCGUUCGAACCAAUCAGUUCAACCUAAUUUUAAAUUAUCGGUAAAAAUAGUAGUAGCUGCCGACAGGAGAAGUUAUUAGAAUAAUACACAUCUAUUACACCAAAACUCUAUCUUUCUCUAACCUGUCGAUAUCAAAGUAUGAGGAAGUCCACUGUACAGCGGUUAAUUUCAUACAGAUCCCUACAAAUAUAGUAAAUUAUAAAUAUAUCUUUAUAAAAUUUAACUUUCAUAUGUUGUUCCUACAAAAGUCUUAAUAUUUUUAAAUAUAUCUCUCUGGUUCGUUACUGUUAAAGUACUAUCUAUUUUAUAAGUGAAAUGACCUUUUUGCUUUGCCAUUACAAAUAUAUCUCUCUAAAAGUUCCAACUGUUAAUUGAAAAGCGAUAAAAAAGAUCAAUUCACCUCAUUAACUAACUAAAGUUAAGUAUUUAAUCUAUAAUUAACUAAAAUUUUCUAACGUAUUCUAACAGCAAUGAAUAUAUUUUAAAAUAUCAAUAUUUUUACAAGAACAGUAUAUAAAACUUGAACUUUAUAAAAACAUAUUUAUAAUUUACGAUAUUUAUAGAGCGAUCUGUAUAUAAUUAUACCUACAAUUUAACUAGUCAGAGACACCGCAUUAUCACCCCUGUAUUUUGUAGGCUUUCUCUUUUUUUUUAGUGAGGUAUCGACAUCGCAAUGAGUGAUGCAGUGACGUAAUCACAACUUUUGCCACGUACCCAACACGGCGUUUUCUUUUUCUUUACUUUAUUUUUUUGUCGCUGCAGGAGGAUCUUGACGAGGUUCGUGAGGACUCGGAGGCCGCCAUUUGCGUUCGCUUCUAUUCAUUUAAAACUUAUUUAUUUAUUUAUUUAUUUAUUUUACUAUUCAGUCACCAUUAUUUUAAUUGGACUUUUGAGUCUUGCGUUUUUAUCUUUUCCUCUGCUUUAUUAAUUUGUCACCUCACUUAGCUUUUGCCGCUUUGUUUCGUUCUUUUAUUAGGCGAUCGGUCCGAUGGAGAUACGUCGUACGGUAGUGAUGCCAAAACGGAUAGAUUUUUUUAUCACACAGGUUGGAACUAAAACCGAAAAGAUUUAGUUCGUCGAUGCGAAAAUACCAAAAAAGAUUCGAAAAAGAGAAAAGAAAAAUAAAACACACAAUAUUUACGUGGUUCGGCCAACGGUCUAUGUCCACGAGCGAAGACGGAGCGGAAAUCUUCAUUAGAAUCAAAAUAGUGUACAAAAUACGCCUCUCUCAUAAAACCCUAAUUCCAAAAAAUACACCCAUAUUUUCUCUCUCAUCUUCCGCAAUAAAUCAACAGCAGAAAGAGUAUAUUUAUAAUAGUGACUAAAUCCUAAUACGAUUAGAAAUACAAAUCCACUAAAAUUAGAAAUAUCUCGAUAAAUUAGGCACAAUCUAAACUUAACUUAAUGGGAUAAUUGAAACAGAAUAGGGUUAGAAGACCUUGCGGUACUAGAAUUUGAGACAUAUUUAACAGCACAAAAAUUCGGUGGAGACUGUUCCUAAUAAUAGAGCAUGUCAACGAGCCGAACAGCAGAGAGCUGAAAAUAUAUCGUAUUCGACUCAUUUGUUAUAAUAAAUGAACUGAGCACGAUCUAAUUCAUUAAAAUAUAUCGUUAGUAAAUUCUAUUCUUAGUACAAUAGAAUUAGAUUAAAAAGACAUAUUUUUAAGAUAUUUUUGUGUAAGUAUUUUAUUUAUGUCAAAAAAUUUUAAAAAAAAUUUAUUAACGCCUAAAUAUAAAAUCCAAUCCAAUCAAAAAUAAAAAGUUACACUACUCAACCAACUCCACACAGCCCAUUCGGUCCAAUUACAAAUAAAAAAGAAAAAAAAAAUUGAUCAUCAUUUCCCGCUCUCCUCCUCAGCCGCAGCCGACGAGAUAGGACUCCGGCGGCUGGAGUUCAGCCGCAAGCAUCUCAUAUGCACCGUGAAAAAUUACGAUCGUCAAGUAUCCCUCCGCCACAUAUCGCUGGAAGAGUGGGUGCCAAUAUUAAAGCGGCCCUAUAUAUAGUGACCCUACAUAUAGCAACACUUAUAAAAAGUAUCGGUAAUUUAGCCAGCAGUAUUUUUUUUUAUCUGUACCGAUAUUUAAAAAUAUCGCUAUACACCAUUUUUAUUGUAGUGUCUGAUCGCCGACAUAUCAUAUUUAAUGGGUUUAAUAAACGAGUUAAAAUAUUCAAUUGAAAAAAUUCAGCUCUGAUUGCCCUACUACCGGGUUGAAAAGUUAGAAAAAAUAAUUUAAAAAAUUAGAUUCUUAAUCUAAUAAAUAAAAUUCACAAAAUAGAGGCGAUUUAUAUUUGGAUUAGCUUAAAAUUUAAAUAGUAAAUAAUUGUAAUAUAAAUGCACAUAUAAGUAAUCGUCUUUAUUGACUUUUGAUCUAACCACAAAAAGAGAAUUCACUGACUAAAAUUUAGAAGGACCUAUACCUUGGUGCCACAAAAGCAUUCGAGGUUAGCCAUAUAUGUAUAGGAUCCGGCUAGGAUGUUUCUAAUAGCACCAAACAUCUAGUGCUACUAAAUUUUUUACUGUUUAAUUUAUCUUUUUAAUUAUUUUUAUUCGUUAAAUUAUACUAUUGAACUAGCCACUGACUCAACUCUAGAGAACCGUUAUUAUUCUAAUCGUACAUCCCUUCAUCCAAGAGCCGAAUAUCUAAUAGCACCUAUGACUUGGUGCUAUUAGAAGCAUUCCAGUCUAAUUCUAUAUAUGUGUGUGUUUGCGCUCAUUCCAGUAUAUCGAGCCGAACACAAGUGAGCUAAUUAUAACUCGUGUUUAACUCGUUAAGAUUUCGAACUAAAAAUUUAGCUCGUAUUCAACGCAUUUAUUAAACAAUCGAUCAAUCUUGAGCUCAUUCCGAAUCGAGCAAGAGUUAGCUCAUGAAGACAAGCUCGAUUGACAACCCGGUUCCUAAAAUAGGACAGUUUCCUCUACCAUUCAUCACAUAAAUCGUCUCAAAUCUUAAUUAAAUAGUAAUAUUUUUGUUAGAGCCAAUAAUAAAAUGCCAAAUGGCAUAUUGGUGCACAGUUCAGCCAGAACCUUCAAAGAUCAAGAUUAAAUGGGUUUCGUGGUGCACCAGGAGUAAUGGCAGAUUAAUAGCAUAACCACAGGGUAUAACUGCAAGCGGUUAUGUGCAGUUUUGAUCGGCUUGUAAUGGCCCGCAAAAAUAGAAAAUUGACCGAUCAUGAAGCAAUAACUAAACAAUAAGGGUGGACUAUAAAUAGGCAAAUAAUGCCAAAAAAGGAGGUUUUUUUUUUUUAGAAUAGAAGACCAUUUUUAUUUCUCUACAUUUUCUUUACAUUUUCUAGGAAUAGUCUACUUGUAAUCUUUUCCUUUUUCGCAUCUACUGUUUUUCGUAGGAAUAGUUCUAAGUCAGAUUUUCGGAGUCUGUAUACCCUAAAGGCACACUCGCGUUUGUACAAAUUCAUAGAUUUAAUUUCAAUAUAUAAAGACAUUCGGCUCUUUCAACCGAUCAAUUACUAUGCAUUUCAUCCAUUCGGCUCAUUCAGCCGAACUUGUUCUACAGUAAGGAUUUUCGAACUCAGCUGAUCCGAUCGCAAAUCAGCAGAAUCGCCUGAUCCGUCGGAGGGCGCAAGCUUCGACCUCGAGGGUCAUCAUGUGAAGCCGGAUUUAAUUGUCGCACGUUUUCCUAGGAAGGCUUUUGACCAGGUCAACGACUGAGAAAUUCAGCUCAUAGCAAUUUUAAAAACUCAUAUCAAAUAGCGACUCGUAAAUAUUACUGGGUUAAGAGUCAAGGGCCGGUGACAUCGGCGUAACAUCAUAAAUAUUUAAUUUUAUUUUUAAUUUUAUUAUAUAGAAAAAUAUUCAUAGAUUAUUAUUCUAAUAUUGUACUUAAUUAAACAAAUACUAAUUUUUAUAACAAAUUUUGUAGCAUAAAUUUUUAAGUUUUAUUUUUUGUAAGACUAAUCUAUGCUAAUAGAAAGUAAGAUUAGCGAAGCAUAUUUUAAGCCGCUGAUUUUUAAUAUGACUUGAUACAAAAUCGAAUCUGGCCAUUUAAUUUUUUUAAAUGUUAAAUUAAACUAUUAAUAAAUAUUAGCUAUUAAAAUAGAUAUCUAAAAAAAUAUAUUUAUAUUUUAAUAUAUAAAAUAUGUUUUUACAUAGGUUUAGUUUUGGGUUCCGAUUUGGAUUCAGUACAACUAAAGAUAAAAAUUAUAACGCUUUAUUUUUUCCCAUAUUUGAAAUCAGAUUCGGAUUCAGUUAUAAUUUCGAACAUCCAUAUCCGUUAACAUCCGUAACUGUACAUAUUAUUGAAAUACUUUAUUUUCUUUUAAUAUUUUGACCUAGAAAUAGUUAAUAGUCACAAAGUUGAUUAAUUAGAAAACAUUAUCAUGAGGAAUUUUUUAUUUAUGUGGAACUUUUUUUUAUUGUACUAGUAAUGCUUAUGAAUACAACACGUAUAGAUCAUAAGUACAUCAAUAUGUAACGCAUUAGUAUAACUGCACAUCAUUAUUUUUUUUUAAGUCAUAUGGUGUAUAAAAAGCGUAUUAAUAGUGUGUAAAAUGUAAUAUGGUGUGUUAAAAAUGUAAAAUUUUCUGAUUUUAGCCAAAUAAAUUCGAGAGAUUUUGCCAAGUUAAUUUAAUAAUUUGGCCAAGUUUAAUAUUUUAAACUCAUAAAACUAUAAAAUAUUACAAAAAUUUUAACUUAGUUAACUAGAAAUGUAGAAGUCAAAAGAGGUGUAAAUACAGCCAGAAAAAAAAAAAAGAAAAAAAGAAAAAAAAAGAAAGAAAAGUUGAAGUGUCUAUCUCAGAAUCACCUAUAGCUUAGGGGGUCUCCAUAUAAUUUUACUUAACAAAUCUCAUUUUAUUAUUCGUUUGGUUCGGGUUAUAAGAACUAGUUAUUUUUGGGAUAGAUAUAAGUUCAGGUGUAAGCCGAAAAUAGAUCAAUUUUACAUUUGAAUGAAAAUUGAGUUAUUUCUGGGAAUAAAAAAAAAUAGCGUUUGAAUAAAUAAGAUAGAAUAAGAAGAAUAAUGAGCAGUUAUAAAUAGAAAAUAAACUCCUGUUGGCCACCUCGAUCCUUGGGGUCACUUUUUUCACCCCCAAUCCACUAGGAGUGCUGGGUGGCAGCCGGGGUGGGCUAUCUUUUGGGCUGUUUAGUGGGCCCCCACCGAGUAUCCGAGCCGGGCCCGCUUCGUUAUUUUUUUGUCAGGCCUUGAGAGCAAUCUUGAGUGCACCAUUGGCCCUUGAGUAGGGUUUCCUUUUCUCUUGUGACAGUUGGGCCUUUUCGGUCACACCUGCAGGGAAGGAUUCAACGGACGGGUGCCGCAUUACAGCAGAUUCUUAUUUUCUUCAGCAACUGCCACUCGGAGUUGUGGGAGCAGCCGCGACCAACUGCACUUUGCUCCCCUCUACUGAUCUGAUUGCUGGGGACUCGGUCUUUUCAGAUGCCUUCGGAUUUCAAUCGCCUUCCACCCCUGAUCUUCUGGUUAGCCCAAACUUUGAUCCGGUUCUGAGUGGGAUCCCAGCGUGUGUGUCUGAGCCGCAGAUACCGGGGGCAAUAGAGCCAGUGCCGUCAGGUAGUUCAAGAGCCUCUUCCCCAGCGAUGGUGCCAAGAACCUGUAAGCGACUCGCUGCAUACCGCAAGCGAUCAAUCCUACACAAGGCAAUGGAAAGGAAGAGCAUUCAGCGUGAGGGGGUUCAGGAGGUUGGGCGCAGAACUCCUGUGGAGAAGAUCACCUACAAGAGUCACCUCUGCGGGGUGGAUUUAGGAGAGAACGAGGCUAAGACCUUCUCCGCUUUUCUGAACGAAUGCAAAUAGGCAGGACGAGUAGGGUUUCUGUAGACUCUUUUUUUGGGUUUUGGUGGUGAGAGUCUAUCUGUUUUUUAUAUGUUUCGCGUCUGUAGCUGGAAUGUUAGGGGGCUCAACGACCCCUCUAAACGGUGUGCCGUUAGGGCCGUAGUGUCUAAACUUCAUAAUGCAGUAGUUUGUAUCCAGGAGUCGAAAGUUGAUCAUGUUUCGAGUUCCUUCCUUAGUAGUUUCGGGGGACCUUUGUUAAACAAAUGUGUUUUUCUUGAAGCCAACGGUGCCUCUGGGGGGAUUAUUACGAGUUGGAGUUCCCGUUUUUUCACUUGCUUGGAGGUCAUCGUAAGGACAUACUCCAUUACUACUCUGCUUUCCUCCACCACGGGCGGGUCUAAGUUUUUUCUCACGAACGUCUACGGACCCGCCUCUUGGGACGGCAAGGAAGAUUUCUUCGCCGAAUUGGUUCAGCUGAAAGAUCAUUGCGUGGGCAAGUGGAUCAUCUGCGGCGAUUUUAACUGUACGAGAGGUCAAGAGGAGCGAAGGGGAAAACUUUGGAGCACCAAAGCCACAAACUUAUUCAACGAGCUGAUCAGAGAGCUUGCCUUGAUUGACCCACCGAUGUCCAACCAAUCCUUCACUUGGUCCAACAUGCAAGCACUUCCAACGUGUACGCGGCUCGAUCGUUUCCUUGUCUCAACUGAAUGGGAUCAUGAGUUCCCCCUCUCCAGAGUUGAAGCACUUCCUCGAAUUACUUCAGACCAUUGCCCUAUCUUGCUAACUGUGGAAAAUUCUGCUAGGGUGAAUCACACGAUCUUCCGGUUCGAGGAGGCUUGGUUGAACCAUGAGGGUUUUACCUCUAAACUUCCGGAUUGGUGGAGGGAGGUUCCACUGAACACGCGGAAUACCCAGAAUAAAUCGGCAGUUUUAACCUUCACAGCGAAGCUGAGACACUGUCGCAUUAGGAUCAAGGAGUGGUGUGCUAAUGAAUUCUACAGUAUUAGAGGAGUUAAAAACCACCUAAUGGAAGAAAUACAGAAGAUUGAUAAAGCUGAGGAACUGGGUGAUUUUUCGAACAACUUAUGCUCUAUGAGAGCGGAACUUAAGGCUAAUCUAGGAAAAGUCUUGGACGACGAAGCUACACUUUGGAGAUCCCGGGCCAAACAGCACUGGCUGCGAGAGGGGGACAGUAAUACUAAGUUCUUCCACGCUGUAGCUAACGGCAGACGCAGAGCUAACUGGAUUGGCACGAUCGUCGAUAACGGUUCCACUUACCAAGCUGAAGAGGAUAAACGAAAUUAUUUUUACCAAUCCUUCAAGUCACUGUUCACUCCUAAGGUAUCGGCCCCACCUUCCUUUGGAAACUGGGACAGGUUAUUCCAAUCCGAUAGCAUUGCGACUCCUGAUUUAGCAAGGUUAUCCGAUCCCUUCAAUUUAGAGGAAAUCAAGAAAGCCGUUUUUCAACUGGGAAGCGACAAGGCGCCGGGACCGGAUGGUUUCCCUUUGAAGUUCUACCAAACGUUUUGGGACACUGUUAAGGAUGAUAUUUUGAGUAUCUUUCAGGAAAUGUACGAGGGAAGGCUCUCCACGGAUGCCAUCGACUACUCUUUCAUUUGCCUUAUUCCUAAGAACGAGGGGGCAGUGCGAGCAAAUGACUUUAGACCCAUAAGCUUGUUAAACGGGAUCCAAAAAAUUUUAUCUAAGGUUUUGACCAAUAGGCUAGACCAGGUUAUGAAGGAUCUGAUAUCCCCGUCUCAGUCUGCUUUCCUGAAAGGCAGGAACAUUACCGACGCUUUUGCAUCAGUUUCCGAACUUAUUGGAUGGGGUAGCAAAUUGUCCGUCGAAGGUGUCGGGAUAAAGGUUGAUUUUGAAAAGGCCUACGACAGGAUUUAUUGGCCAUUUCUUUUCCAAAUUCUACGGUGGUGGGGUUUCAAUGACAAGUGGUGUGAAUGGAUCGAAUCUUGCGUGUGCCACGCGAAAGUGGCAGUACUUGUUAACGGAGAGCCGACCAAAUGGAUAAAGACGAAGAGAGGCGUAAGACAAGGGGAUCCGAUUUCACCUUAUCUAUUCUUACUGGUGGCUGAGUGCCUGGCUCGUUUGACCAAUGAGGCGGCCUCUAACAGUCUCAUUAAAGGCCUCGGCCCGUCCGAGGGAUGUAGGGUCACUCUCACUCAAUUUGCGGACGAUACCUUUUUCUUCUGCGAAGCAAAAAGCAGGUACUUGAAAAAUCUCAGGUUUAUUUGGCGCCUCUUCGAGUGGGCCUCGGGAAUGAAAAUCAACAGGAAGAAGACGGAGCUUUACUAUCUGGGACAGGAGGUCGGUAAAGGAGCCAGAUUAGCAAACAUUUUGGAAUGCAGAGUGGGCACCCUCCCAACCAAUUAUUUGGGUCUACCGCUCUCUCCCAGAUCACCAUCCAAGGAGGCAUGGAUGGGGAUCAUACAAAAGAUACACCGCAGAAUAGAGGGCUGGCAGGCUAAACUACUAUCUAGGGGGGGUAGACUUAUCUUAGUUAACGCGGUACUAACCAACAUACCCCUAUACUCUCUUUCCGUGUUCAAGGCCCCCGCGUGGGUGAUUAAGCACAUCGAAGCCCUUAGAAGGGACUUCUUCUGGAAUGGUGGGCGCAGCACCCCGGGCAAAGGAUGCCUAGUGGCUUGGAAAAACGUUUGUAAGUCCAAAAAGGAAGGCGGGUUAGGUAUCUUGGAUGUUGCGACCAUGAAUCAAGCGUUAUUGACUAAAUGGUGGUGGAAAUUCCACAUUGCACCUGAACUACAGUGGAACAAGUUAAUCCGGGUUCUGUACUAUCGUAGAAGAAAACCACUGAGGGAAGGCAGAUACUUUAGACCUUUCUCUUGUUGGUGGAAAGGUAUCCUUACUUGCAGCACCAUCUUUAAAUGGGGUGCAACCUUUGAACUAGGAAACGGUAAAGCCAUCGACUUCUGGCAGGACAGGUGGUGUGGGGAGAAAACUUUGAACCUUCUGUUCCCAGAAGCUCAUCUCACAACUGAGGGGAAAAACUACAGAGUUAGCGACUAUUUCACGAGGGGUAGUUGGAAUUGGACCAAGAUACUGGGUGCCGAAGUGGGCCGUUUGCAAGGGCUGAUACCGAACCUCUCGGAGCUAGUGGAAAGGGUCUCCAACUUCUCUGUCGGACAUAGACCUGAUAAGAUCCUUUGGCGGUGGAGUUCAGACGGACAGUUUUCGGUCAAAUCGACUUAUUUGGCUUUGACGGACGGCGGGGUGAGAGACGCACGCGCCGCCACCAUCUGGAGUCUCAAAAUCCCCCUUAAAGUAAAAGUCUUUAUCUGGUUGGUCCUUAAGAAAAGAAUCCUGACACGCGAUAGACUUGCUAAGAGAUGGUGGAUCGAUGACCCCACCUGCGUGCUUUGCGGGUCGGACGAGGAAUCAGUGGACCAUCUGUUUACCCACUGUGUAUUCUGCAAAUUCAUCUUGGUGUUAGGGGACGACGAGAUCCAGGCCCAAGACCUGGGGGAUGAGGUGAAUCUUGUUUGGGAUAGGUGGACUGGCAAGAAAGACCCUCUUAAUAAGCGUACCAGACUUGCUGAACUAGCGGGAUGCUGGUGGGUGAUCUGGAAGGUCAGAAACGAUGUAAUAUUUCGGAAUAUUCCCCCUAACCCGGGGAUAGCGGUCCAUAGAUUCAAACUGCUUGUGAAGGAGUGGGAGCUUCUCCUCCGGUCAUAAUUUGUUUUUUUUUUUUUUUUUUUUCUCUCUCUGGGGCCGGGUUGCCUCACAUUUGUAGCUUAGUUCAUAUGAUCAAUGAAUGAAGCGGGUAGCAUGCUACCUCUUUCUCAAAAAAAAAAACAAACACAUCGACUACAUAGAUUAACAUUGUUUAAUUAGUUAUCAUGCCUUAAAGCAGACGCAAAUAAAAGAUCAACUAUACGGAGUUUUUACUACUAGUCUCGUAUGUAUUACUUCACUGGGGAUCAAUAAUCCAGUCCAAUGGAUCAUUUGUUUAUAGUCAGUUUUGCUAAAAAAAGACUUAGGUUUGUUAUCACAUAUAUAUAUAACUAGCAACUAACCCGUGCAAUGCACGGAUUUUAAAUUUAUCUUUUAAUUACAAUUUUUAUAUAAUAUAUAUUAAUUUUUACAUAUUAANUUAAAAUUUAAAUAUAUAUCUUUAAAAAUUAAAAAAAUUAAAAUAAAAUUUUAAAUUUUAAAUCUCAAAUUCAAAAAUUUAAAGUUCUAAAUUUUAAAUUUAAGAUUAAAUUUAAAUUUAAAAAUAUCAAAUAUCAAAUUUUAAAUUUCAAAAAUUAAAAAUAAUAAUUUAUAAUUUAUAAAUAUAUUAAUUAAGAUUAUAAAUUCUUUAAUUUAAAAAAUUAAAAUUUAAAAUUUAAAAUUUUAAUUAUAAAUUUAAAUUUAAAAAUUAAAUUGGGGUGGGAUUAGUUAACCCCACCUGGCCAAUUCCAGGGGGAGGUGGGGUUUGUUAACCACACCCCUAACGGGUUAUUCCGGAAUAACCCGUUAGGGAUGGGGUUAACAAAUUCCACUCAUUGAAAAAGGUGUUUGGGGAUUAAGAGGGGAAUAACUCCUUAAACCCCCUCCUGACCCUCAACCAAACACCACCUGAGUCCAAUUUUUACCACUCACAUGUAGGAAUGUUACUUUUUCACUGCAUGAGUGAUAAUUGUAAAGUGAUUGAGACACCAAAAAAAUAAUAAUAAUAAUAAUAAUAAUAAUGUUGGAGUUGUUUGUUUCAAACAAAAUGAUAAGAUCUGUUAUUAUCAGCCUCUUUUUGCAAAGUAAAAGAAGAGAUUGAUGAAAACCUUUUGAUGCAGACCCUUUUCACCUGCUUCUAAAAACUCCUGAUGAUGCACAGAUUGUUACGUGUAUUAUAUAUCGACAUGUAAGUACAUUAAUAAAAACUUCAAAUACCAUCUCUGUGAUUUUGCAUUUUCUCACUUUAGUAUCCUGUGGUUUAAAGUGUAUCGAUUUAGUACUCCGUGGUUUUAUUUUUUCUUUUUUAUUAUCUCCUUCACUAAUUUUUUUUUUAUUAAAUCAGUGACAAAGUUAAAACUAAAAGAGACUAAAGUAAAUAUUCGAUAAAUUUAGAUUGGGUAUGAAAAGUUUUUUUUGUAUAUAAUUUAACGAAAUAUUAACAGAGGAGUUGAUGAAAAGAAAAAAAUGAAAUCACAGGAUACUAAAUUGAUACACUUUAAAUCAUAUGGUACUAAAAUGAGAAAGUGCGAAACCACAGGUAUGGUAUUUGAAGUUUAUCCUAAAUUUUUAGUAGUAAAAAAAAAGAUAAGACAAGUGACAAAAUAUGAGCCACGGAAGGAUUAAGAUAUAAAAUUUAUAGGGAUGAAAAUGGUGUCGAUUUUUUGACGAAACCAUGUCCGCAUCUGUAUCUUUCUUCGGGUGCAAAAAUGUGUCGUAUGCCAAAUCUUCGAUACUAUAUCCGCUUAAAACGGAUUUGAAUUCAGAAUGAAUCGAAUUCGUAUUCAAAUACAAAUAUUAUUCCGAUAAUAAUAUAUACUAAUAAGCAUUUAUAAAUAUGAACUAAAAUUGGCAUAAAUAAAACACAUAAUUGCAUUAAAACUUUAUAUUUGUAUUCAAACUUCAUAUGCCUAUAUCUUAUUCAAUAAAUUAAAUAUUUUAAAAAAAUGUAAAUGUAUUUUUUAAUAUGAAGUUCAUUGUAAGGUAAAGGAAAAAUAAGAUAAAAAAUUACCUUAUUUUCCUACAAUAUAUAUUAACAUCUUUCUUAUCUUUUAAGAAUGAAAACGGUCAAAUAUGAUCAAAUUUUUUAGAAAAUCAUAUUUGAAUCAACUUUUAAAAUUUUUUUAAAUAUAAAUUUGAAUACGAAUAUGUAUCAGAUAUUAAGCUUUGAUAUUUAUAUACGCAUUCUAUCGAAUCUGAUGUGAAAUUUCAACCUGCUUCAUAGGUGAAUGGGGACAGGUUUUGUACUGCAGUGCAAUUUUGGGGUGCAAUUAAUUAUUCCGUACAUCGAGACAGAAUUGGUAAUUGGACAUGGCAAUUAUUCAUGACCUAGACUAUUAAAAGAAAAAUUACAGUUUAAAUAAAAAUUAUAUAUUUUUUGUCACAGCUAUAAAAUUGUAGUUCUCACCGUUCUGAUUUUUUGUAUAGUAAUAAGUGAGUGAUGUAAAAUCUAAAAGUCACCAUCAUUAAUAUUUUAUUAUUUUUGUCGCUUUGUUUUUGUAAUUGAUUACGAGAUGCUGAAAGGUUUGAGUUUUGACCAAAAGUAAAAUUACAAUAAAAUAAACAACAAAACUUAAUAUUUUACGUCUCUACUUCCGAUGAAAUAAAUACUCCUCAAGCUUAUUUGUUUCAACGAAGGUGAAAUUUAGCUGGAAAUAGACUUUCGAGUAAACUAGAUUUCAAGUAAAAAUUAGCUUUCUUCCACUAUUUGUAUGUAUAUUUGUGAAUCUAAAAUUUUUCCGAUUGUUCUACUAUGUAUUUAAAACAGAAAUAAAGCGUUAAAUGCAUUCAUGUCUCUGCAAAUAUAGUGAAUUGUAAAUAUGUCCCUACAAAAUUUAAUUUUUAUAUAUUUUUUCUGCAAAAAUUUAAUGUUUUUAAAUAUGUUCCUCUAGUUAUAGAACUGUUUAUAUUUUAAGUGAAAUGUCAAUUUUAUCAUCACAAAUAUAUCUCUCCAAAAACCACAACAGUGUAAUAAAUAAGAGGGGCAAAAAUGUAAAGUUAUCUCAUAAAUUAACCAGAGUUAAGAAUUUAACCUACGGUUAAUUAAAAUUUUCUAACCAAUUCUAACGGCAUGGACAUAUUUAAAAACAUUAGGAUUAGGAUUUUUAUAGGGACAACAUAUGAAAGUUGAAUUUUGUAUGGAUAUAAUUGUAAUUCACUAUAUUAGCAGAAACCUAUAUGAAAUUAACUCUAAAAUAAAUAACGAAAAAAAUGAAUAUACAAGAAAUAGGCUAAUAUUUUAUUAUUCUUUUCUUAUCUUUUCUUUCCGUAAUUGACUAUAGUAUUUUCAAAAGUUAUCAAAAUUAAAUUACGAUAAAUCAAACACGAACAUUCACAUUCACGGUCGAAAAUAACUUCACCCCUUUCUCGAUGACCGCGAUCCAAUUUUUCUCUCUUAAAAGUUUAAAUUCAAAUCUACAAUUGAAUUUAAUGUGCUCCAGAAGCACCAUCUAGAGGACAUGUAAAGGUGACUAACUUUCUAUACAAAGAAAAGAGUAAAACACCACGCCUUGAAUUUAUUAUAUUAUCUAUUAUUAUAUACUAAAGUGCGUGGAAUGGUUUUCUUUUAUUGAGAUGUAGCUCUACUAUUCAGUACAUCCGGUGCAUUGUAGACCAUGGAUUGUAGACAUAUAAAUGGUUUAUAUAUAUAUAUAUAUAUAUAUAUAGUNNNNNNNNNNNNNNNNNNNNNAGCUGGGCCCUCAAGUCACGGACCUCACUAGAUCCGGAAGUAGCGGAGGUCUCAACCUCCUCGGGGUGUGCCGCAUCAUCCGCCCCGGCAGACUGGGAGCGUGUAAUCGGCAUCGUCACUACAAAGCAUAAAAGCGCAAGUUAGUAACCCACGCUAUCGCAUCCCCGCUCAAAUAGAUAAAACCCCAAAUCAUGCGAAAGUAAGGAAGUGUCCUUCACUACUAACUUCCGAUGUUACGUUGUCGACCGCCAACGUAACCCUCCGCGAUGUUAGAAGCCAUACACUCCGAUCAAACUCUAACUUUCUAGAGUUGUCAUAAUACCCAAUCAUGAUACUUUCGCUCACAAGUCGAAUAGACCUCGUCUCUCACGAGCAUAUUUCCUAUAGUCCAACCGGCCUAAGGUUUGCUAGAUCCCCUAAGACUCAACCCUAGGCUCUGAUACCAAAUUAAUCUGUCACGCCCCGGGACCGGCGGAGGCCCUCCCGGUAGCGUGCCCGGACCCGCCAUAUGUCUACACAUAUAAGGCGUCUAGAAUAAAAGCGAAAGUAAAAGCAAGUAGUAGACAACUAGAAGAAGUGAAAUAACAAGCAACUAAUGAUAUCAGAGCGAAUAUAGUUCUAACAUCUACACCAAGGUAAAGAAGUAAAGCUGGUCAAUAAAAAGAGUCAUAAGAAGUACAAUAACUGUCACUAGUACAAAAAUGGUGGUCUCUAGUACACUGGUAAAACACUCAACCUCUUGCAAAAAUAGAACAAAAAUCGAGAGGUAGACCACCUAGCAACUCGUCCUCGAAGGAAGCUAGCUCGAAGCAACUCCCUUCCCGCGAUCCCUGGCCUCACCCUGAGUGGAAGGCUCUGUAAAACAUCGAGAAAAAGAGGGCGUGAGAACUAUAAUUUAUAGUUCCCAGUGGGCAAUUACUGACCUCAGCUCAAUGCACCACUAGGCCCCAAAGGAAAAGGGUAAGUACUAAAGCAAUAAUAAGAGUAAUAGCAACAACAAUACGAAAGCAUAAAUGAAGUGCUAAACCGCUAUAUCUCAAGUAAAACAUGAUGUCAUGGUGGUGUACAUCUACGCUGUCAUAAGAUAAUAUAUCCAAUGCAUACUGUUAUGUCUCGACAUGAUAAACAAGUAAACCUCACAAUGCAGUAUGUCGAUGCAUAAAGAGUAAACUCUAACCAAGCAACCGAGUAUACUACGAUACAAUAAUGAAACCGGCAAGUAUGCUAUAUGCACCAAUGCUAUAUCAUGAGCAUGUCAAAGUAAUCCAACUACUAAACCUAUCUAGUAGUGAUUAUUCAUUCUCAACCCUGUGUCGAAUUCUAUUUCCAAUUAAGGACCCACCCAAGGUGGCCCAGCUUGUGCCGCCUAAGUGCCCGUGGUAGCCCGACAUUCCUACUCUUGGAAUGUGUCUGUCCCACUCAACCCCGUAGGCUUCUCAAUACCGCACGAACGAACAUAGUCGCGUAGGCUAACUCCGGAGUGCCGGCUUGUAGGGAGCGACUCUCACAAGCAUGUGCGAAUGAGCACAAAUGGCAAGCAAGCAUAGUCCAAAUCUCAAAUGUCCAAUCCUCAUGUCUCUAACAUGGUAUGGUCACUAGCAUCACGAAGAUCUAGUUUAAGUCAAAAUGUGGAGUUUCAACAUUUGCUACGCCUAGUGCCCCUUGAUGACACUUAGGCAAUUUGAUGUUCAACAUGUAUUUCAAAUCCCUCAAUGGCCCUAUCCACUAGGUUCUCACAUAUCCCGAGCUCAAUGCCGCUUGAUGACAUUAGCUCUUUAAAUCACAUACGAUUCAAGUUUGGGGACCCAAAAUGGCCAAUGUUGUUAUCUUUCCUGUCUCAAUUAAACUUAGGUUUAAAUGCAAGAAUCAAAACUCAUUUACACUAUAAGCAACAUGGCCAACAUAAGAAUGCUAGAAAACCCCGCAUAAGCUUCAUAUGUACUUUUUUACUACAUAGAGGUCCAAAAUUUUACUACAUGUGACAUGGGUAUUUUAAGCAUUCCAAAAAUCAUAAUAAACGCAUGUGACAUGAUUAUGCAUGAUUUUCCAAUUUACAAAAUAUAAUUCACCAUAUAUGAGAAUUUCUCAUAUUAUAGGCUAGGUCAAACCCACCAAAAUCGAAACUCUCGAUCCGCCGAACGAAGGUUUCGGCAAGCUCCCAAGUACCCUAAGAGCAACAAAAACGGGGUUACCCAAACGAAACGAAGAGCGAAAAGCUCAAACAUUAAGCAUCUAGCAAAAUGGGCAAAACUCACCUCAAGAGAAGAAAUCUCUUCCUAUGCUCCAAAAGAGAGCUAGAACCCUUCCAUUCUAACCUAGGGGAAGGUUCUAAUCCAACCAAUUGAGCUUCAAAAGCCCUAAAACGAAAAUGCCCAAAAUAAACCCUAAAACACCAAAUCUAGGGUUUCAUCUCAAUGAAACCUUCAAAAACCAAAUCUAGAGGGAAGGAUCUUGUCUCUUACCUCUUAGAAGCUUCAAACCAAGCUCAAAGUUCCCAAACUUCAAGAAUAUUCCCUCAAUCAAGCUCCAAACCUAAGCUCCAAGCUUCAACAAUGGUGGAAAUAGCUCCAAAAUGCAAAAGAGAGGGAAAAAAUCCAUCAAAACCCAAGCAAAAAGGUGAUCAAAACCAAAGGGAGGAGAAGAGGUUCUCCUUACCUUGCUUCUCCACGGAUUCCAGCUCAGGGAGAGCUCCAUGGGGCGUGGGGACACAUAUAAGAGUCCACAAAUGCGAAAAACCCCCUGCAGUUUCGAACAGUUCAAAAAUCUGCACUGCGUACCGGUACACGGGCCCGCGUACCGGUACACAUCCCACGAAAAUGCCAAACCCGAGCCUCGGGUUGGCUGAAAGGCUGCCCGUGUACCGGUACACACUCCCGUACCGGUACAACCAUCAAGCCUGUACCGGUACAGCCAUCAAGCCUGUACCGGUACAGCCAUCAAGCCUGUACCGGUACACAGCCCAAUAAAGGCUACCCGAGAGCUAACAAAAAAUCCAACUUUUUGGAUGUUGGUACACCGCUUCAAACCACAAUUCUCGGGACUCGAACCAUGGGUCGGAACACUGUCUACGACCCUUCAGAAAGUCUGAGAUGGCUCGCCACACAGAUCAAACACUCGAACCUCGCAAUUUGCAAAGGUCCAGUGCGUCACAAUAGUAGCCCUACUCAUAUAUAUACCAUAUACUAUAUCUAUAGAGAGAGAGAGAGAGAGAGAGAGAGAGAGAGUUCGGCUAUUGUACUCUUAUGAGUACGAUCGCCUUCGUACUCAUAAGUUGUUUUCGAUGAUACAGCUUCCGAAUCGACGAUCCAUACCGUUAAACAUUAUCUAGAGCAUUUAAAACUUUUAGAAAUCAAAUUUUAUAAUUUUUCGAUAUCAUUUACCUUAUGAUCAAAAGCUCACAAAAUUGACAAUUUUUAACGACUGAUAUGAGAUAUUUACUAGUUUAACGGUGAAAAAAAUUGGAAUAAGUUGAAUUUUUGAUAGAAAAUUUUAUUCACUACAUAAAUAAAAAUCAAUAACUCUAAUCUUAAAUUGAAGGAUCCGAUCAUCUAUUUUUAAGAUGUCAUUCGAUUUUAAUCGUUCUUUUUAUACCCUCUUGAUGGACUUUAUAAUGAUUUUAAAAAAUUACAAAAUUUAUUUUCUAGAAGUUUCAAAUAAUCUAGAUCAUUUUUAACGGUGUGGAUCAUCAAUUCGAAAUGUCCAACAUCGAAAAUAACUUAUGAGGACGAAGGGCUCAAUACUCAUAAGAGUAUAGUAGCCCUACUCUAUAUAUAGAGAGAGAGAGAGAGAGUUGAGUUAGAAUACUCUCAAAAGCACUAAGGGUGUGGUACCUUUGAGUUUUUUACCAUUUGAUAGAGAGAUGUAGGGUUGAAAUGAUGGUGAUAAUGAUAGUGGUAAAUGAUGUCGAAAAAUUAUGAAAUUCGAUUUCUACAUAGUUCCAAUAACGUAGAUUAAGCCUAACAGAACAGAUCGUCAGAUCGAAUAUCCUAUCAUCAAAAACAACUUACAAGUAUCGAAACAUUCAUACUUUCAAAAGCACAUAGACCUAACGGGCUCUCUCUCUCUCUCUCUCUCUCUCUCUCUCUCUCUCUCUCUACUUCCGUAGUUUGUUUAAUAGGAACAGAAUUGGAAGCUUUUUUUCAUUUCCUAUUUUUGUUUCAUGUAAAUCGCUAGAUAUUAACCCCAAACCUGUUGGAAGUGAAAAUUCUCUACACCGACUAAAUUACUAUUUCUUUUUGUUGUUUCUCACCUGGCGUAAAUAACUUCUGGAAUACUUGGGCCUGUUUGUUUGCAAGAAAGUGAAGUGGAAGUGAAAGGGAGGAAGUGAUUUUCGGUGAAAACUGAUCACUUCCGUUGUUUGAUUCGUCGUAAAAAAAUUACAGUCGAAACUCCAGCUAACCUAAAAUGGUGUAAUUGACUUCGGCCCAUCGUAGACCGAAAUCAAUUACGGUGAAAAGAGAUAAAGAAAAAAUAAUAAAAUAAUAUAAUAAGUAAAGAUAUUUAUAUUUAAAUAUAUUUAAUUAUGGUACUAAUUAUUUUUUUAUUCAUUUGACAUAUUUAAAAUAUAAUAAAAAUUGAUUAGUUAAAUUUUAAUAUUUUUUUAAUUAGUUUGUACAAUUAAAAUAUAAUAAAAAUUGAUUAAUUAAAUAUUAAUAUUUUUUUACUUUAUAAUUUUAUUGUUGUAUUAUUAUAAUUUAAAUAAAAAAAUAAAUUUAGUUGUUUUAAAUUAAAUUUUAAUUAUAUACAAAUAUAAUUAUAUUAUUUUUAUUUAUUAAAUUAUUUAUUAUUAUAGGACAAUUUCAUCACUAGCCCUCUCAAAUAUGUAAAUAUCAUAAAUGCUCCUACAAAGUUGAAAAAAUCAUAUAUACCCCUUUAAAUGCAAAAAAAAUUCACAAGCACCCUUCCUUCCAACUGCCGUUACCAUAACCAUGAUUAAAAUUUGGUUAAGGGUUGAGUUAUAAAAUGACUAAUUUAGCCCUAAAAAGGUUAAGUAUUAUUUUGCCAGCAAAUAAUUAAGGGGCAAUUUCAUAAGUACCCUUCUAAAUUUUGAAAAUAACAUCUGUAGCACAAAUUAUUAGUGGGUAAAAAAAAAAGAAACUCCUCACCAAUAUAUCAUUUUGAACUAGAUCCCUUUAAAUUUUAUUUUUAACAUUAAGGGCCCUUGAACUACCAAUUUUUCUUUAUUUGGACUUUACUUAGUUAAAAGUUUUUCAAUUGAGAUCCCUCACAUGAAUUUGAUAAAAUUUUUAAUUUUGUUGGGAAAAAACACUCAAUUACUAAAAUUUAAAAAAAACACUUAGGUUGAGAGGGUAUAUAUAUAGAGAGUUUUGUUAUAAUACUAUCGGUAGUACAGCUUGAUUUACUACGAUUUGUUUUCAAUGAUAGAAUUUCCAAAUUGACAAUCGGCACCGUUAAACAUGAUAUAAACCAUUUAAACUAUCUGAAAGUUAAAUCUCACGCUUUUCCGAGUUAGGAUUAUGUCGAAGUGGACUAUAGAUGAGAGGGUUUUCAUAAAAUUUUACUUUAUUGUUAACAAUAAAUUUUCAAUUAAAAAUUUUUUGUUUGAGCAGAUCAUAUAAGUAAUACUCUAAUAUCAAGAAUUUUGAUAUCAAAAUAUUUUUAGCGUGAGAUAUGUGAGUUAUUUAAAUAAUAUUUUAAAAAUAAAUCUUUAAAUAAUUAAUGUUGAAUAUGGACAAUUAUAUUACAACUAUAUAUAAUUUAAAAGUAAAAAAUCAUAAUGAGAUUUAACUAUCACACUUAAUAGACUAUAGAUUUUUAAUUAUAAAAUUUAAAAAAAAUGUUAAAUUAUUAUGUGAUUCAAAAGUUAGAAAUUGAUCAUAUAAUUAAUCUUUAAAUAUUACAUGAUUAGAUUCGUGCUAGGGAUAAAAUUGGUAUUUAUAAAAUAUUGGAUGACUUCUUGACGAAAAGUUAAUCUAAAGGAUAUCUAUGAAUAUUUUUGGUUUAAAAAGGAGUAUUGAUGAUAUUUUGUAGUCUAGAGGGGUAUUGAUGAAAUUAUCCCUUAUUUAUAAGGGUAUUUAUGAAAAGUAAAAAUAUAUCCGUUGAGGUGGUACAGGAGUAGAAAUGAAAUUUACAACUUGUUUUGUUAGAUUCUCACAACACAUUAUGCAUAGGGGUAUUUAUAAAUUUUUUUUGAAUUUAAAAAGCCAUUCAUGAUAUUUUUAAUUUUAGAGGAGCAUUGAUGAAAUUUCAGCGUCCUAUAAGAAUAUCCAUGAAAUUUUAUCUAUGAAAUUUUAUCUAUGAAAUUUUCUCUAUUAUUUAUAUAUAAAUUAUAGUUUUAUAUCAUAUACUUCCUACCAAACAAACAACGGAACUAAUAAAACUUUAGUUUCAUAAUUACAAAACAAAUAGCGAAAAAGUAGUAGUUUUCACCGAACUCCACAUAAACCCAAAGCCCAAUUUCGGUGAAACAAAAAUGCCCUAAGCUAAACACCGAAAAAUGACUAUUUACAGCCAAAGAUGACUUCAUCCCUCCCACCUAGGGCAAACCAAACAUAAUACUCUAGUGGCAGAUGUCAUUCAAAAUGAAAACCUGAUGAAAUUGAGAUAACUUAGGACUGAUUCUAAUUACAUGUUACUGACAUAUUGAUCUAAUAGAUACGAUCGAUGUGAUCGGAAAUGACGGAAAACCAAUCGUAACACAACCAAAAACAUCGACCGUCCCUAGCGCAAGUGGCAAAAAGGUUUGAUGGUUGGUAUCAGAGACCCAAAUUUGAAUCCUAGUUGAUUCACAUUUCUAGCUAAGUUUAUUUCUAAAUGAAAUAAACGAAGCGGAUAGCAUACUAUCUUUUUCUCAAAAAAAAAAAAAAAAAAAAAAAAAAAAAAAACAACAACAACAACAACAAUAACAACAACAACAACGCAACCAAAAACCUGGAACUGAUAGUCUAUGAACUACAAGAAGUUUGGAGGGAGUGUGACCUCUCUUUAUUCUUGAAGGUAAAUGAACCAUCAAAUUCAUGAGGUACACAAUUAUUACAACUGAUAGUACUACUUUUCGUCUUGUUCACAUUUAAAAAGCACUUUUUUCAUGCAAUGCUCAUAUUUUCCAAACUUAGAACGUAGUAUUUCAACUCUUUCACAUUUAUUAUCAAAGGAGCUCACACUGCAUCAAGUACUUGUCUAAAAUCAUACAAUAGCACAAGCCAUUACCAAACGAAAUGCUAUGUCAGAUAUGCAUCUAAAGCUUGGGAUGUGCAACCUAAGGUUUGCGGCAUUUUGUUACAUGAGUAAUGCUAUCUGUACACCCAAAAGUAGAUAAAAAUCUUCCGGCCCACCCAUCCAAAGGUUAAUUUUACCACACUAGUCUUCUCACAACUUUUUUUUUAGUACUAAAAAUCCAAAAGAGUUGUCAGUUGUUUCGAUCAUCAGAUGAAGAGGGUGUAAGAUAUAUGCCGGCCCACUUUUGGAUGUGCGGAGAGCAUUUCUCUUGCUAUAUAUGGUCUCAAUACUUGGCCAUGCAAAAGUUAAUUGCAAAUGCAAUGGCAAAGGAAGAAAAGCUAACUACAAAUAAAUGAGAAAAGCAACCAUGUGUACCAGAAACAACAAAGGUUGAAACAAAGGAGCCGCAAAUGUAUCCCUGUGAAAUUUCAAAAAUACCUCUGUAGUCCUCCAAAGCUGAUUAAUAGCAUAUUUCUCCUCAAAAUAGAUUCCAACUGCGAAAUAUAAAAAUUUAAAUAUGCAGGUCGAAGUUAAUUUGGGGGUGAAAUCAAAUAGAAAAGAGGCUUCAGGGUUUUCGGUUCUGAUAACACGAGAUGUAUUAGGAGCAACUCAAGGCUAUCUAAGACUUCCAAACUAAGCAGGCAAAUUUCUGGUAAACCACAUGUGCAAACUAGUACAUUCAAAAAGGCCGGAUUGAUCUCAACUAGUAGUGGUGAUCCAAUGGGUCAGCUGAAAGACGGAAUGAUCACUAUGCUCAGUUAAAGCAAUAUUGGAGAUGCCACCUCCGAGUAAUUUGGAGGUGUUAAGGUCUCAUCAAGGUCACUAGGACUAAUAUCAGAAGAUUCAUAUCAAAUAUUUCUAGUUGUCUUCACACUUUUUCCAGACUUACGAAGAAAGGGGUGGAGAUCGCAUGGGAUGAAUCCUGCCAGAAUGCACUCAAUAGCAUCCGACAAUAUCUGCUAAACCCACCUGUGCCGGCUGGCACCAAUUAAAGGAAGGCCACUUAUUUUGUACACUGCUGCUAUCACUUAAAGCCCUCUUGGCCCAACAGCAUGAAAGAAGGCGAGAUCACCCAAUGUGCAGGAAAUUUUUUGCAUACAGGGACUGCAGGAAACCUACACCCCUGUUUGAUGCAGUUAUUAAUCUGAAGAAUUUUGUCAAUCGGAUAUCUUAAGAGCAUGAUCAACCAGUUAAAUAACCAUGAUUCAGAUUCCAUUUUUAGUCAGAACUUGCAUCUUAACUUUUGCGUUAUUUUUCAGCUUACCUAAUUUUUGCACUAAUUCAUGUCCUAGUGUUGAGAAUAAUUAGGGUUAAUAUAAGCUGCAGUAAACAGGCUCUAUAUGCAAAGAAAACAAACUCUGAUAUAGCAUUUCAAAUCCUAGAAUAGUAUGCACUUCGAAGGCCCAGAGAGAAAUAUUAAUAUAAGCAUAUGGUGCACAUCAAACAUAACUACUCGAGGAAGUUUUAGAUAUUGUACAUACAAAGAACAAGGUAAUUCAAAAGCUGAUUUUCAUAAAAUAUUUAAAAAGAAAGCGGAACUAGAGCACGGCAACACAAAAUUUACUGACCCAAAAGAGUUUACACAGCUUUAGGGAUGGCAACAGCUUCUGGCGCUGGCAGGGUUACUGAUCUCAGCAGUUCCAACGAGCAAACAAGCCCCAGAAAAUGCGAAAGGAUGGUAUUGGCUGAAGCCUGAUAACAAUUAAAGCAAGUUAGAGAACUACUUUCCAACAGUUGUCAUAAUUAAAAGAUACUAAAGUUUCAGAGAUCUAGUCAUAGCAAAAGCUGAGACUACAGUUUCCAAGAACUAUUUUUAUGGAAGAAAUUAACCAUUUGAUAUCUAUGAAACAACCAAUUAUAAUAUAUUAGAAAAUAGCAUUUUCAUAUUUUAUAUUUAACACUCCCCCCUCACAAUUGGGCUCAAGACAUGGAGUAGAAUUUAAUGGGAGAAAAUUCGAUGAACUAGUAGCCUAGUUGAUUAAAACUUAGGAACUCCUGCUUUGAUACCAAUAUACCAUGUGAAAUAAUUAAUUACUCAAAAAGCAUAAGCUGCCAGGGAAGAAUGGUUCAACAUUUUCUAUUCAACAGAUACUUCUUCCAAAAGCUCUAAUUGUUGAGAUGAUAACUGCGCAAAGUCUUAUAUAUGAAUAGGAAGGAAAAAAAAACAUAUGAUUGAUUAAUCAAACGCGAUCUUUGUAUAGCAUGCAAAGAACAAUUAAGUAGGAUAUUCUAGAAAAAGGAAAAUAUCUCUGUGAAGGGUAGAAAGAACGUAACAAACAUUGAAUACAACAGCCAAUAUUGAAAUUCAAAAUGCAUGAAUUUAAUCAAAUAACAAUAAAGAGCUAGAAGUAGACGCAACUGGUUAUAAAGAAUGUCUCAUAACUAGUACUUUCUAUUAGAUUUCAAACAACUUACCAUGCAUUUUUUUUCAUGUCAAUGGUGAAAGCAGUAGAAUUUAUUUAUCAAGAUAAAUAUUUCAUACUUUAUUAAUGAAGACUAUAAGCUGCAAGCUAAGUAACACAUUUAAAGCUGCAGAUUUAGUACCAAACAACCAGAAAUUUCAAGAUCUAAGAAACAAUGAACACGAUGUUCGUGAUAAGCUGGAGACAAAUGCUGCUGCACUUCGUAGAGGAGAAGAAAUCUGAUUUAAGAAUUAUUUAUCUUUGUAUAUUUACCACAAACACAAAACGAAAAAGAAAAAAAAAACACCUGCAGCUGAGCUCAUUAUAGCUAUAUGUUACUCCUACCAAAGAAAACAGAAAUUAAUAUCUAUUGUUGGGUGGAGAGAGGAGUAAAAAAAGGCAAAUGUAUUACCAAGAAAAUGCCAAGGAAAAAUGAGAGAAAAUGACUUUAUAAUCAAGUACAGGAUUAUUAUAUACCUGUACUAAGAAAACAUCUAACGCCAACACAGGACUCCGACCAGGGGGUAUCCCCUGAUAGUAUGGAACUGCUGAGGUAGUAAGGGCUUUUGCAACCAAUAACCCAACGGUUGCUUGCAUGCCAAGAACUGCAGCGCCCAUUCCGAGAAGAUUAACCACUAUACCAUUCUUCAGACUUUUAACCACAUCAGCACGUGGAGGGGCCUAGAAAACAAAAGAAGUGUAUAAAAAUUCUGAAGUUAAAUGAAGCACCAACAAAAGAAUCUAACUGACUGUUGUUUUUAAUCCUAUGGUGUUAGAAAUAAACUAAAAUUAAUUUUCCACCAAUGUAUUAGGAGACUUGUAUGAUCUCCCUGAUCAUACCUCUCCAAAGCUAUUUGUGGCACUCUUAGUUUUUACCCCUUCGAAUUUAUAGAGAAGGUUCUGCCUCACACUUUUGUUAUGUGACACAAUAGUAAUAUAAACACAAAACAAUCAUAGAGGUUAGCAUUGCAAGAAAGUUUGUCGAGGUCAAUGAAGACUUAAGCACCAGGAUAAAAGAAUAGAAAAUAUUGAUAUGAAACUCUCAAUCAAGCAUUCUUUCUUUUUGAAGAAAAAAAUUUUAUCUUCGCGAAAGGUGACAAACAAAAAGCUACACAAACUGCUAACUAAUUUUGUAGGAUAACAUUUUGGUAUUUUAGAAAUUUUGUAGGAUAACAUUUUGGUACUUUAGAAAUUAACAUUUUGUAGGAUACACAAGUACUUUGGAGUUUCAUACAAGCAGAAGCUACAGGGCACGCAAAAGAAGUGUCAUUUUUGAAAUGCAAGGAAUGAGAUGGCUUCCAAAAUCCUAAACCCUACAGGACGGUAUAUUAUUUCUCUGUAAUUAUAACCUAUCAUUUGUGUAAUAACUGAUGUAGAAUGACUAUGCACUUAUAUAUGUUCAUUUAUACAAGUAGUUGACAUCUGAAACAGGAUAUCAAAUGAGAUUUCGGCAACAGAUAACAAAUUACUCACUAUUUACUAUUAGUGCUUGAAUAUUUAUUCAAAUUUUCCAAUUCAGCAACCAUGUCAAACAGCAUAACAUUGACAGCCAGAAAAUGCAAGGUUAGAGAGAGAUAGAGAGAGAGAGAGAGAGAGAGAGUACCUUGGCAGGCUCAUUGGCCGUUCUUUUAAGCCUUUCAGAGAGACGGAUGUAACCAAACGACCAGAAGACUGACACAAAUGCAGCAGCAAUACUGCCAGCAGUGGUGUAAAAUGUGAUUGGUGAUGUGACCUUGCCAGUAACAAGUGUAGAGAACGAUAAUAUCACAGCAGAUACAACUGUGCACACCAGCUGUCCCCAGAACCCAAGGCUACCCAACCGUUUAAAGUAUCGGGAUGUAUUCUCUAGUCUUUUCGAAACCUACUAAUUAAGUCAAAAAGUUUAUAUGAAAAGUGACAGAAGGUUUGUGCAAAUAAAAUAUGAACAGAAGUUUUGUAUGAUAAGAUGCAGGUUAAGCUACUCAAACAAACUGCAGCACUGAAGACUAAAACUUAUAAUGAUAGUUUUACAUAGUUUUGUCAAUAUUUAUCCCUGAAAUCUUUCAAUUUGCAUUUUUAUACAUCAGUUCCACAAAUUUGCAUAUUCAUCGAUCCAUGACUUCCUCAAAUAUUUUCUCUUUGCGUUAUUGUAAUUAGAAUUCAGUAUUCUUCUUAGAUGCCAGUCUAAGAAAAAGCAACAUAACUAAUGACUAAAACUGCCUUAUCUUCUUCCACCAUCUGUUCCCUAGUGUUUACUAGUCAACUCGUCUUUAUAAAAGGUGUCGGGUGACAAAUUCGUUGAACUUUCCAGGUACAUCCAGACUGAAAAUCCUUUAUAACACAACAAAGAUAUAGGCUUUUUUUCUGCUCAAUUUUGAAGGCACUUGGAAUAGGCUUCUCUAUUCUUGUUAUUGUUCGUUUGCAAACUCAUCUUUAUGAAAUAGCUAGGAAAUAAAGAGAAUAAAUAAUAUAUCUUCAUUUUGUUGUCAAACACAAUCCAUAAGAAUAGAGACCGUAAAAAACUCACAAUAGCAAUAUUAGAUAAGGCCAUCCCUAUGUUCCCUCAGCCAUGUAGAACUUGAUAAAGAAACAAACAAUGCCCAAUGAACGGUAAGACUCUUCUUUGUUUAACACCUCAAAGUUCAUCCUACAACUAACCAAUAAGUUACAGACAUAUGUAAAUGUCAUUUUGACCGAUGAAGACUAAUAGAGAAAGAUAUAUAACAUUGUUAGAUAUAGAAUCAAGACUUGUUUCCUCAAUGGAUUAAAUGUAUGUUUAUCCUAAUAUACUUCUCAAAAGGCUAAAACACAAGGAAGUCCCCUGUAUUCAUCGCAAUUUGCACUUUACGCCCACCCACUCCCCUCAAUAAUCAAAACCUAAACAUUGUUGCUCGAUAUACUAAAACCAUCCUGCAUUUUACAACAAACCCCACCCCCUUAACCACCCAACACGCAGAACAGGGCGAAGUACUACAACUAUAUGAAUCUUGGGGCCAUCAAUAGGUUUAGAUGAGUAACCAUACUUACGCAUUAUAGAACAGUUUACUAAUCUGCUAAACUGUCAGUCUUCAAUUGGGUAGUUGGUACAAUUCACAAGGAGGAUGGUAUAUUUCAGGCAUCGAGUUGUAAUUACAAAACCCAAAUGAAAAUAAAAAUCUACCACAUGUUGUACAACCUUUUAAGUGGGGAAAGUUUUCUGGUUUCCAUUAUCGAGUGGGUAAAGGGCAAAUCAGGAUACAUCCAAAAGUAGGUUUUCUGCAUGUUAGCAAAAAAUUUCAGCAAACAGUAGAUCCUUCGAAAGCACUACGCAUUCAUCUCAUCUGUACUCGAUCUCUCAUUCAUCUCAAAACCCUUUGAAUUGUAUUCCAAAAUCCCUUUCGAAGAAACCCAACUCAAAUUAAACCUAACAACGCCUCCCAAAUUUACUCCAUUCCACCUCCCCAUUCAAUUCACCACAUAAGAAUAGACUUUUAUUGCCAAAAACAACAAGAAAAAUCCACAAUCACAAGAACAGAUACCGAGAGAGAGAGAGAGAGACCUGCGCAAACUUUGCCAUCUCGAAUUUUACAAAAAAUCAUCAGUGAUCGAUCCCUUACUCAUUCACCUAAAAACCCUCAAUCAACUCAAACAAAACCAAAUCCAUUCUCCACGCAACGCACCAAAUCAGAUUAGAGACGUUCGUAACAAAAACAACAACAAAACAGAUGCCAAGAAAGAGAGCGACCUGCGCGAGUUUAGCCCUCUCCGAUUCGUCGUCGGCGGCGGGCGAACUCGCCGCGGCGGCAUGCGGGGGCGUCCGAUUCCAACUCCUGCUGCGAUUCCGAUUCCUAGCAGUGAUUAGGGCGAGGAGCUGGGAUGGUGAGGGAGAAGGGGGGAAGUGGGAGAGAGCGGUGGCGGUGGCGGUGGCGGUGGGGGAGGUAGUGCUUGGGAUUAGGGUUAGGGUUAGGGUUAGGGUCAGGGUUUUGCGGCCGCGGCGGGGGAGAGGAGGGUGAAACGCGGCGGCGGAGCGCGGCUGCAGAAGCAGCAGCGCCUGCAUUGUAGCGGUGGUGGUGGUGGCUUCGUUUCCCCCGUAGCCAAGGUAGAGAAAGAAGGGGGCUGGAGAGGGUGAAAUGUAUGGAUAGUCCUUGUACAAUCCCAAUAUUGUAACUUGAUCCCCGUUGUUUUAAAAUGUAGGAUCAGGAAUUUAAGUGCCGAGACGUGGGAUCAUGCAGGAAAUUUGCCGGUACGGUACUAUACUAUGCGUGCCGAGCCGUGUCGAUACAUGCCGGUCAAAAAAUUCUUAUAUACCGACACAUAAUAGUAUGAAAUAUUUAUUUUUUUUAGCAACAAAAUAUUCUAACUAUUUAUUAUAUCUUUUUAUUACAUCUUUUAAACUUUAUUGAGAAAAUUACUUACUAAUUUAAAGAAUAAAGAGUUUUGAACUGUGCCAUCGGUACAGGGUCUGUAUCGUGCCGGUAUCUUGUUAGCACGGUACAGUACGGUGGAUACGGCCCGUGCCAACGGGCACUUAAAACCUUGUGUAGGAUAAACUUCAGAUAUCACCCAUGUGGUUUCGCUUUUUCUCACUUUAGUGUCCUGUGGUUUAAAGUGUAUCAAGUUAGUGUCCUGUGAUUUUAUUUUUAUCUUUUUGACAGCUUCUCCGUUAAUAUUUCGUUAAAUUAUAUAUAAAAAACUUCAUAUACUCCUCCUUGGUUUAUCGAAUAUUCACAUUAAUACCAUUUAGUUUUAACUUUGUCACGGACUUAACGAAAAAAAUUAGUGAAAUCUAUAAUAAAAAGAUAAAGGUGAAAUCAUUGGACACUAAAUUGAUACACUUUAAAUAACAGGGUACUAAAGUGAAAAGUGUAAAACCAUAAGGGUGGUAUUUGAAGUUUUUUCUAAAUUGUAUAAAAUUUAACUCCACUAUCACAUUUUUGGAUCCUGCUAGGGUGGCAAUCCAGCUCACUGUUCGUGAGCCCGUUCGUGUUUGGCUCGAAAUGAGCUCGAGAUUAAAUCGCUCGUUUAGUAAACAAACCGAGCACGAGCUGAAAGAACACGAGCUAGGGUCAGCUCGCUCGUGUUCAGCUCGAUAACUGCUCAAAUACAUAUAUUUUAUAUUUAUAUUAUAUAUAUAAAUAAAUGAUUAUAUAUAUAAUAUAUAUCUAUAUCUAUAUCUAUAUCUAUACUACAUAUAAAAGCGUGAGUUUUACAUUUUUUCCUCUUUCCAAAAAUACCUCUAUCUUUUCUACUAAUAUUUUCGUGUCCAGUAAUUUUCAACCAUUCGUUUCAAAUAAUUUUUCGAAUAAUAAAUUAUUCUUAAACAUAGAUCUUAAGUUUUUAUCAUUGGAUCUCAUCCAACGAUUAAAAAUAAAAGUAUCUGUCACUUUUCUUGACAAAAAUACCCUCAAUAUCCAUUAACUCCUAUCUACGCGUUUUACAAAUAUCUACGCAUUUUCUCAAACGUAAUUUUCGUCAUAACUUAAACAUUAUAUCCUAUUUACGGCGUUUCUAAAAUAUUUUAUUUCUCACACGUAAUAGCACCAAUCACAUAAUAAAUAAAAUAAAAUUAAAUAAAUUUAUCCUAUCUACACGUUUUCUCAAACGCGCCAUAAAUUAAAAUAUCCGUAAUCUCCUAUUUACGUGUUUCUCGAAUAUUUUCUUUCUCACACGUAAUAUCAGCGUCAAUCACGUAGAAUGUUCAUAGAAAGAUUUAAUACCCAUCUAAGCAAAACUAAAUUGUUAAUUAAAUAUAAUUUUACAUUUUUGAAUUUUUUUAGUAAAAUAUUCAAAAGCAAUACCCGUCAAAAUAUUUUACACGUUUCUCGAAUACAAAGCAUAUCUUAAUAUACUCGCAUAUAUAUCUAAAUAUCUUUACAUAUAAUACGUACACUAUCUAAUCUUAUCUUUGUAUAUAAUAUCUAUACUAUCCAACUUAUCUUUGCAUAUAAUUAAUAUCUACACUAUCCAAUCUUAUCUUGUCAUAAUAUUUAUUCACACACAGAAUAUAUUUUUUUUGAGACAUAUUUUUUUAGUAAUAUAUUUUUUAUUUUCACCUAUACUUUUCUCAAAUAUUUUUUUUAGUAAUAUCCUUUCUCAUAUGUCCUUAUGGUUAACACCAGUACAUCGUAGUACAUCAUCAUCAUCGACACCUGCAUAUUGUAACUUUCGCCACCUUCGUCAUAGUUGGAGAGGUAUUUUGAUCUCACCUGAAAAUAUUUUAUUUUUUUAAUGUGUAUUUAUACUAUUUUAGCAUAUUUUUUUGGUAUUUUCACAUUCUUACGUAUACUUUUAUCAAAUAUAAAGUAUACAUUUUUUUAAUAAUAUCCUUUUUCAUUUUCACCUACAUUUUUCUUACAUAUUCUUAAAUAUUUUUUUUAGUUAAUCCUUUCUCAUUUAUCAUCAUUGCCGGCACCAGCACAUGGUCAUCGUCCUCCUCAUCGUCAUCGUCAUCACCGGUGCCGGCACAUUGUCGCCUUCGUCACCUUCGCCGCAGUUAUUUUGAUCCCACCUAAAUUUUUUUUAUACUGUUAUAGCAUAUUUUUUUUAGUAUUUUCUUAUUUUUACUUAUACGUUUCUCAAAUAUAAAGUAUAUUUUUUUUUAGCAAUAUCAUUUUAAAUAUUUUUUUUGUGACAUAACUGUCAAUCUUUUCUCACAUAAUGCAUACGUUUUCUCAAAUAUUACAAAAUAUAUAUGAAAAAUACUUAUAGUAUAAAUUAAUUAAAAUUAUAUAAAACUUAUUUAGAGAUAAAUUAAAGUUAGAAAAAAAUAAUUAAAUAAUAGACAUACACCACCAAUAACGAUUUAAAAUUUAAAAUGUAAAUAUAAAUUUAAUUUAAAAUUAGAUGUGGCAUUUUAAAUUAAAAAUAAAUCAAAUUUUUGAUUCUUUUACAUUAAAAUAUAUAUCAAAUCUUCUAAAUUUUCUUUCUGACGAGAAUGCACGUUACCUAUACAUUUGUCACUGCCUUCUCAAGUGUUUUUUUUAAUUUCUUCCACACCUCCUCUAUUAUGGUUCGCGCCGGCACAUCGUUGUCAUCACCUUCACCAACACAUCUUUAUCCUCCUCGCCGGCACAACUUCAUUGUCACCUUUGCUAGCAUGACGUCGUCGUCCUCACAUUGCAUGUAUAUCGACAGAAGUCCACGAAUCAUAUCGGCGUUGUUGAUGGUCUACCGACAUGUCAUCGGUAGUCGAGAUACAUGCGUAUGCGCAUUAUCGGUGGUCCACAAUCUGUAGGAUAGAUUCAAAAUUCACCCAAAAUUAUAUUAAUAUUUUUACGAUUUUCUUCAAAUCAAUUUGUAUAUAUAUAUAUAUUUUUUAGGGUAUGAAAAAUGUUAAAAUAUUUGUUCAAAUAAGCUCAAUUAAUUUGAACAGUAAUAAUUAUAGAAUAGUAGUACAAUCCGUCUAUAUUUCAAUUUCAUUAAUAACUUAAAAUUAAUAUAUAUUUUAGAAAAAAAUUAUAUUUGAUUUUUUCAAAUAAGUCUUACGUGCAUUGCACGUGUAUAUGACUAGUAUAAUAUAAAUCUUUGUUAUUUGAUUUUUAGCCCAAUCUAAAUAUAAGACCAACUCAAUUAUAAAAUUAUGUAAAAUUUCAACCAUUAGAUCAAAAGUAUAACGGGUGAGAUCUUAUAAAUUUAUUUUCUAUAUUUAUUCUUUCUAAUCCUUUUAAAUUUCUAUUCAUAAACCAAAUCGUAUUCGACUCGGUACUUUAACGUGCUAGCCGAACACAAGCGUGUUUGGCUCGUUGACGCCCCUAGUUCCUGCUACCUAACCUUCAAAAAAUUUUAAUUUUACCAUCAUACCUUUCAAUUUAUUUGAUUUGAGCUAUUUAGAAACUUUGUAACUUCAAAAUUUAAAUACAUUAUUUAUCUUCAUGAAUUUAGUUAUCAUAUUUUAAAUAAUUUAUGUAAUUCUAAAUUCAUAGAAGUAAUUAGUUUAAAUUUUAUAUUGAAGAACCAUCAAAUUAUUUAAAUCAAACAACUUGAAUGACCGGAUGUUAAAAUCAAAAUUUUAAAAAAUUAAGUAGUUGAGUGAAAAUAAUCUAUAGUUUAGAUAAGUUUUAUAUAGUUUUAUCAACUAAGUUUAAACUUUAAAAUUAAAAAUACGAAUUAUUAAAUUCUUAGUCAAUUGAGCUUAUAUCUGCGAGAACCAAAAAUGUAGAAAAAUAUAAUCCAUCCUGAAUCUGCACUGAUUUGCUAAGUAAAUGAAGUGAAAGAUGAAAAAAAAUUUUCUUUCUUUAAUCCAUCCUAACAAAGCCGACAUCCCGAUCAAACUCGAAUGGGCCAAAAUAGAAUUAAAAUUAAUCCAUUCCGAUCCCGAAUCCGUCCCGUUUGCAUUCCUAUUCACUGUCUAAACCAUUUUAGGCUACUUUGAAAUAGAUCCCUCAACUAUUUCUUUUUGCAGUUUGCUUUCCUCGAAUAUAUUGCAUUUGCACAGAAUCCACAAAAUAAAAAAAUAAAAAAUAAAUAAAUAAAUCAUUUUAUCCCACAAUUUAUACAGUAAAUAUACUUUUUUGGUACCGUUUGGUUCGGAUAUAAACAAGAACUAAUUAUUACAGAGAUAAGUAUAAGUAUGGAAAUAAAAAAAAUAGUAUUUGGAUGAAAAUUAAAUUGUUCUCGGAGAUAAGAACAAUUUUAGAUAGUUUUAUAUAAAAAAUGAAGGUGUUGGUGGGAAUAACCGAGAACUACUAUUCUCGAAUAAAAAAUUAACGUUUGGAUAUAAAGGGGGAUAAGGACCUAUUCCUAUUCCUAUCCCCUAACCAAACGCUACAGCAUUGACAAAAUUUUACCAAAUGACUAGCUGAGUAUAAAAUAAGUUUGGAUAAAUUACACAUUUGGCCCUCAAACUAUGAGCGACAACACUCUGGUCCUUAAACUCUAAUUUGUUGUAAUUUUUUUUGUUCGGAAUUUCAUAAUUAUUGCAAUCAAGUCCCAUACUCUAAUUUAGUUGACUAAAUAUUAAUACAAAUAAUGUGGCAUCUUUUUAUUGAUGCAUAACCACCGAUCACAAUGCUGCUAAAUCACUUCUAUAUUAGCGAUACAUCUAUAUUUAGUCAACUAAAUUGAGGUACAGAACUUGAUUGCAACAAUUCUAAAAAUUCAAGCCAAAUCUUGCAACAAAUUAAAGUUUAAGAAUCAAAAUGUCACCGACCUUAUAGUUUGAGUAAACAUGCAAAAGAAUAAAAUCCUUUUUUUUUUUAAACUCAUUUUGAGAAUAACAUGCAAAACAUAAUACAUCUGAAGAGACAACAUACUACCUUAGAAUAUCAAAUGAUGAGCAGCACUGCCGCAUUCGGCAACCCUAGAUCUACAAUGAUCAGUGCAUGGUAUAAGCUGGGGAACGUCGACUGGCCCGUGUAUGCGAGAAUGAGUGCUUGUGCGCACGCAUGCUCGUGCGCGCAAGCACGCAUACGUGUGAAUCGGUGUGUGCGUGCAUGCGCGCGCGUGUUUGUGUCUGUGUGUGUGUGCACCUGCAUGCUUCCAGAGAAUGAGAAACAGAAACAAUUGGACAGCUUGCAUGUACAAAAAAAAAAAAAAAAAAAAAAAAAAAAAAAAAAAAAGGCUUAUCAUUAGUUAAAAAAGUAGCAUAAUGAAGGGCACAAUGUUCUUAUUUUCACCAACCUAAAGUGAUUGUGAUGAUAUGAGUGAGAUUAUUCUACCUGGUUUUUGUCUCACUUCGACUCAAUAAAAACCUAUAUACAUAAGAGAGAAGUAUUCUUUUUAAAGGCCUAUAAGUAAACUUGCAUUGUGUAAACUUGCAAUGUGCGCAAUUUUAAAAGUAUUAGAAUGGAAAUAUUUAUUUGAUGAGGAUGCACCGGAUCGGGCAACCUUCGGCACCACGGAGUCGAAGAGGUAAGCAAUGCAAAGUGUAUAUCCCUGGUUUGAUGUUCUCCAACUUUAGUCCUUCAACAAGGAUUAUUUCCUGGAAAACAGUGCAACUAACAAUUAGAAAUUGAUUUUACCUAUAAAGAAAAGGAAAAAAAUCGUAUCAAUCAAGAUUAUAUUGAAAAGGAAAAUCACGCACCCGGCUUUCGAGAAAAACUAAGUGUGAAGGGAUCAAGUCGUCGUAUGCAGCAACUGAUAAGUAGUCGACUCCUGCAAAUUAUAACAUAAAGUAAAAAGUGUUUGUUGGAGAAAUUUUAGUACUAGUAGCACGACGCUUGUAAGUAGAAGUGAUCGACAAGAAUUGAAGAACCAAGCAUUUUAAAACAUUCUGAACAGCACCGAAAUCGAUGGACAAGAAUUCAUAACCACAACGCAAAUUGAGAUACUAAAAUAAGCGCAGUUAAUGGAGAGAAGAACUACACUAGAAAAGAUAGCAAUGACUAAAAUAUAUGACAUCUAGGAAAUUAAUGGCAAAGAAGGAGCUAAAAUAAUAUCAGAAUUAUGCAAACAGCUUGUGCAAUACCACAAGCUAAAAUGCAUGGCUGACCUACAAAUCAGAAUAAAAGAAAAUGAAAUCUAAGUGAUAUACAAUCUUCCAUGUUAUAUUGUUCCACUACUCCAUUCAUAGGCACUCGAUGAUAUCGCUUUUGUGUUCUAAACAUUUAAAUUCUAAAAUUUCACAGGCUAUUAUAAGAGUUAUCCAUAAACAAACAUAUGGGUAAUGAAUUCCUCAAAGUUAUUAGUGACCUGCAUGUCAUUCAGGAAAUUAACUUUGCAACGCAAAAUUUUUAACUUAAAUUACAUUAUGACCAAUUACUUAAAGAAACAGAAUGUCAAAUGUUACGCAGCGUUGGACAGAGAUGUCAAAUAUGAACAGUGGCUGCUUGGUAACGGCCAGAAGACAUUGACCACUUUGACCACUCUGCUUUAAUUUACAAACUCAUAUUCAGUAACAUUCAAGGCAGACUAGGAAGAAUCAAAUGAGAAGGAAUAGCAGGAAAGAAUAAGAAUAAAGGGAUGGAGUAGUGACAGCAGCUUAACUUGCUUUUGGAAAGUAUGACCUAUUUGUUCUUAGCCUAACCUAAAUCAUUCUGAAUUCCAAGCAAUAGCAAUGAUGCUCUCAUUUGAUUUUGUGAACAUGAAAAAUGUCUGGAGGCCUCCCUAAACAUAGGCCAUUUUGAAAUAGGCCCUGCAACUUAUUUCAUUUUGAUUUUCACACUCUGAAUUGGUAAUUGUUUCGAUUUGCGCAAUUUUUCUACAUCAAAUAGAUUUGUUCGAAUUGAUGGGCUCCAUAGGCCAUCAACUGUUAACAGUUAACGAUGUUUGCAGUUUUAAGAUUAAACAAAACCACUUGUAGAUUUAACCGUUAUUCAAGAGAAAAGUUUAGAACUUGCUAAUUCAAUGAAUUAACAAUGCACAACGACAUUGAACAAGCAGUUAUUUCAACCCACCAACAAGUUUGAUGUCAGUGUUGUCCACCAACCACUGUGCGCCAUCUUUCAUGAAGCCAACAUAGCUUGUAUCAAACUCCUUUUUCCACAUAAGCUCUCUGCAGAGAAGCAUAAAUAUUCUAAUUAUAUCUGCUAAAAAUCAUGUAUGCUUCAUUCUAGUUUGUGAUGAAAAAGGAAAUGGAAGAUCCUCUUUGUGAAAAUAUUGGCCGUCAUUAUUAUUUUGGAUUCGAAUUUGGCCUAUAUUUGGAGCUCAAGCACAUUCGAUUUAUAUUAACAUUGAUAUUUCAAGUUUAUGACCCAGAACUUUAAAGAGUAUAAAUUUCCAAUCUUUCCCAUAUUCCAAAGUUACUACUAGGUGGCUUCACAGGAGUUAAAUCAGAAAAUCAAAACAAAAACAGUUGAAAUAUCAUCAAGAAUAGAAAAAUGUUAUUACCUUAGUAAUUGUGUGCGAAGGUUACCAGCUGAACUUGAAUUUGUAUAUACAAUCGAAUUGAAAAAAAAAAAAAAGCAGACAUCAAAAAAAAGAAAUAAAUAUCCACUACCUGUCAGUGUUUAAUGUUCUGAAAAGCACACGGCGAACUCCUUUAGGAAUAUGUAGAGAUUCCAUUACUUCAGCUGUAUAUAGAGGACAUCAUUUAGCAGUUAAACUAAUAAUAGGGUAUUUAGAGUGUAUAUACAGGAAAGAAAAUUAGCCGCCAAGCAAACCAGUUAACGAACGUGUUACAUUGAAAACUUCAUUAGAUGAAUUUUAGAAACUUAAUGAGUGGUCUCCUAUACGUUCACAUUUAAGCAAGGUUUUAAGUGCCCGUCGGCACGGGCCGUAUCCACCGCCCCGUACCGUGCCAACAAGAUACCGGUACGAUACAGACCCCGUACCGAUGAUACAGCUCAAAACCCUCUAUUCUUUAAAUUAGUAAGUAAUUUCCUCAAUAAAGUUCAAAAGAUGUGAUAAAAAGACAUAAUAAAUAGUUAGAACAUUUUGUUGCUAAAGAAAAUAAAUAUAUCAUGCUAUUAUGUGUCGGCACACAAGAAUUUUUUUGACCGGCACGCAUCGAUACGGCUCUGCACGCACAGUGCCGGCAAGUUUCCGGCACGAACCCAUGCCAUGACACUUAAAUCCUUGCAUUUAAGCACAAACAAUCAGUAACAGCAUUUACUAGUGAAUGCACAGAUUCUCUAGUAGCCCAGCCAAGAAGAUGCUUAAAUAGGGCAGGAGCUAAUAGUUUGUUACCUGUUAUAUUUUUAUCUCUUGGGACAUCUACUAACAACGCAGGACCUGCGCAAAGAAUGAUAUAUAUAAAAUAAGUAUCGAUUGCACAAAAAUUAGUGUACAUAAGGUGAGGAGUCAAUAUUAUAGAUCCAAACUCUACAAACAUGAUCCGUGCAUGAUGCACUUCAAUGAAGGAAACAAAAAAUCAUAAAACUACUUGAAAAAAAAUCUUAGAAAGAGCUAAAGAGCAUAAAAUUAAAAACUAGAAUCAAUUGAUAUAUCAUAAACAAUCAAAUGCAGAACACAAAAGACUUACAUAGGCAUCCUAUUAUCCCUCCGAACACAAUAAAGUUGACAGCUAUCCUCAAUUUUUUUUAUUUGGUAGAGUAUCCCAGGAAUAGUAAUUCCAUGAAGAGCGGUGGAAUUGCAAUAUUUUCAAGAAAAGAGUCAUUAUAUCAACAAAGUUUCUUUAUUCUUACCAAACACAAUGGGAAUAAUACUUAGCAUCAAAGUUCUGGAUUGGAAAAUUUCUUGCUACUGCCAAGAUGAAACUUCUCAAACCGAACACUGCCUAACGAAUCAAUUCCAUAACACAUUUCAUGAUAAAAUCCAAAAGCAACACAAACUACAUAUCCCAUCGAAUUAUUUGGUCAUUUCUAUCGCCUUUAUUCUUCAGAUUGUUAUUGAAAAUAUCUUUUUAGCGAGAUGAGUUACAAAGUAACUUUCUCAAUGCCAUAGUUUCUGGGCCCAGCAUCGGAACACUUCUUUUGGCUGGACCAGUUGAUAAUCCAAUAAGAAGGCUCAUCAUUUAUCAAAACAGGCAAUCACAGUUGAUGUCUCUCGCUGAAGUCUAUGAUGCUCGUAGUUUAUGUUUUAUCCGGUCUCAACUCUCUGACAAUUCUAAGCAAUGGAUUUUGUCUCGGUAAAUCAAGGUAGUUUGUACCUGCUGUCUCUAAGGGCAUGUUUGGCCCUGUUGUGGACGGAUGCAGUGUUGUUUGAUAAAGUUUUGCUUAAAUAGGACUAUUAAUAGAAUCAGUAUACUAAAAUUUCCUACAGAUUUUCUCUGCAGAAGAAUCGGGAUCACAUAACUUAAAGCUUUGUGUUUUGGGGCCCUAAAAUUGCAUUUCUGCUUUCCGCCACAGCAAAAGUUCUGGAACUUUUCUACUUUCAAAACACUCUACUAGCUGCAGCUGACAGCAGAAGCACAAGCUAGGCAGCUAGGCCCUUGCUGUAGAGUGUACCGCUCUAAUUUGAAGCUACCUGUCACGGACAAAAUGUUUUCCGCUGACUUCUCCUUGACAGUGGCCCAAUUUCGCUAACGGAGCGGGUCGUUAAAGAGACCCGAACCCAACCCGCUGUGGAGAGAUGAAGAGUGUUGUAACUUCUCCCAUCAAUGAUGGAAGCUCAAGGGUUAUGAAACUCCCAAGAGUUAAUGGGGUGACUCUUGGACUUAUGGCUCAUUAUAAGGGUGAGUUAAUGUGUGAGUUAGUGUAGGCUAGAUUCAAUGUAUCUAGGAGCCUAUAUAUAGUGCGGUUUGGCUAAGGCCAAAACACACAAGAGACAGUGUGUUUGUAUGCUGUAAUUCUCAUUUUCUAAGUAGUGUAGUACUUAGCAUUUUGAGAGAACCUCUGCCUCAUUCUCUUUGUCAUUUCCUUUGCAUACUUAAUCGUAGGACGCGAAGGUCCGGACUAGCAACAGGAACAAAGGCUUGCCCAUUUUCAAACAGGAAGGCCGGCGCCACACGGGCUUUGCGAACAGAAACGCUAAGGCCGUGACAUACUGCUCUAAUUUGAAGCUACAUACCGGUCUAAUUUGAAGCUACCCCAAAAAAAAAAGAAAAAAGAAAAAAAAUUCACAUUUUUGCUUCCCGCCCCUAUCAUAAGUAACUGCAGCAGAAGGUAACGGACGCAGACACUAAAGUCAACACCAAAUUCGAGUCUUUUUCCAGUUCCUAGCGAAUCCUAGUCCUCUCCGAUUCUCCAAAGAAAGAUAACAUGAUAAACUCUCUAAAAGCUUCUCUAAGCGCCAGAAUCAGAAGCUCUGAAGCUCCGAAUUAGAGCUUCUGCAUUUAUAACACCUCAAAAUCAACUUUUUCUGAUUCCCAAACACCCUGUAAUACAUCAGUACAGCUAAAAGCAGAAGCAGAAGCAGGGCUAAACUAACAACUCCGCUUUCUCCCUAACUCACAAACUAGCAAAGAAAAAUAACAUGAGGAGCUCAAACGCCCCAAACAACAUACCAUUGAGCACCUCGAGAUCGAGCGUGUCGACGUCGAACCCGGCCUCGUAGUAAUGCUGGAACACGUGCCCGGGGGCGUCGACGUGGGUGCCCGUGUGAGCGGGGAGCUUCAUCUCGGAGUUGUUGGCGAGGGACCCGUUCGCCAUGGACCCGGCGAGCCAGAGGAAGGGGCCGAGCCCCUCGGGGGACUCCCACGAGGGCAUGUCCUCGCGGAGCGCGUAGGUGAUGUCGAUGAUCCGUCCCCCGUCGUACUCCUCGCGCCGGAUCGGCACCAGAUCGUCGGCGGCGUCUGCGGCGCCGGCGGAGAAGGGGGCGGAGCACGAGGACGACGACGAUGGGUCGGGGUACGCGGGGUGCGCGGAGGAGGAGAGGGAGGAGGGGAUGAGGAGGAGGAGGAGGAGGAGGAGGAGGAGGUAGGGUUUGAGGGGGAUCGCCAUGGGAGUGGUGUGGAGAGGUGAGGUGAGGUGUGGUGUGGUGUGGUGUGGUGUGUAGUUUGACUCUCAACAGAGAAAAGAGAGAGCCAUAACCUUUUAUUUAAGGUUAAAAUGUAUAAACACCCCCUGAAUUAUAGCCGAAUUUGAAAUCAACCCCUAUACUUUUUUAAAGAAAUUUAUGCCCCUCUAUUUACCAAAAAUUUAAUUUACGUACAUUUUUUAGUAAUUUUGAAAAUUCUUCUAGAAUAAAAAAUUCAUUAUAAAAUGCACAGUAAAUAAAAUAUAUUCAUAGCUUAAUAUCGAUCGACAUAUUUUAAUUAUAAUAAACAAACACAGAGCUAAUAAAAGAAUAAAUAUAAGUAGAAAGCUGAAAAAUAUUAAAAUAUAUAAGAAUUUGACCCUCCUCUAAAAUGUUGAAGUUAUUUAUCGGCUUAUCAAAAAAAAAUCAAAUAAAAUGAUAAAUCUGAAAACUUCUGAGCGACGGUCGUAAAUCAAAUUUUCAGUAAGUAGAGGGGGUGUGAAUCAAAUAAAAAUUUAGUGGUCAAUUUUAACCGAGACUAAAGUUUAGAGGGUGCCUAUACGUUUUUAACCUUAUUUAAAUUAAAAUUUAAUAGGUAAAAAAUAGAGAGGAAAUUUUGAAAAGUAAAGAUAAUGAGAGGAUAAGCAAAAUGCACCUAUGAUAUUUUUAUAUUUUCUAACACUAAUUACUUUAUAUUUCUAGUUGAUAUUUGAGAUUUCAAAAUAGGGAAAAAAAUUUGAAAGCGGAGAUAAUCAGUAAAAAAGCGAAAUAUAACGAAGCAAUUUAUAUUUUCUAGUACAAGUUACUUUUUUUUUUUUUUUUUUGAGAGAUAGGUAGCACGCUACCCGCUUCGUUUAUUUCAUUAGAAAUAAACCUUCGCUGGAAAAAGUGAAUCAAUAGAUGUCGAAACUUGGUCUCCGGGUACCAACCACCAAGCCCUUUGUCACUUGCUCUAGGGACGGUUAGUAUUUCUAAUACAAGUUACUAUACAAUUUAUUUGAUAUUUGAAAUUUUAAAAUUUAGCAGCACAUCGUUAUUUUUAUAUGUCUAAUUAAGUUUAUCUUUCAAUAAUGAAUAAAACGAAUAACAUAUUAUUAAAAAAAAAAAAAGAAAAAGAAAAAAGAAACAUUACCAUCGUCAUCACCACAAAUGAGUUUUAUGAGAAUUUGACGAGAUAGAAGGAGAGAGUUUUUCGUAAGUAUACCAAACUGUGUUGGAGAAUUUGAGCAUCUAUAUCUGUAUAUGGGAGAGAAAAAAAAAAAAUUCGGUGGUAUUUUCUCUAAUGACACCUUAUUGAAAAGCUCCCGGAUCUACAUAUUAGUUUUUGAUUCAAUCUUUAAAAAAUUAAUUUGAAUAUUUUUUAUUGAUCAGAAUCCGUUAUCCCGGUAAAAAAUAUAAUCAAAAUUGGAAGCAAUAAAAAAUAAUUAAAUGUUUAGUCUCUAUAACAAAAAAAAAAUUGUAAAAUACAAAAAUCUCCAUCAUUGCCAUAAAAGCAUUAAGCAUUAAAAACAGGCAUGCAGAUGACCCAAAAAAAAAAAAAAAAAACAAAACUCAGAGUUCCUUAAAUUUUUUAACAAAUUAUAGAGUGCUAUUUAAGAAAGAAUUAAAUAUAAGGAUUAAUAUUAUUUUAAUUUUUUAUGCAGGAAAUAUUUGAUAUAUAGUAAUAUAUAUAUAUAUAUAUAUAUAUUAGAACUAGGCUACUAUACUAUCGUAGCACGGAGCGCUUCAUGCUACUAAUUGUUUUUCGAUGAUACGGCUUCAAAAUGCGACGAUUGGCUCCGUUAGACUUGAUCUACACUAUUGAAAAUAUUUAGAAACUAAAUUUCAUAAUUUUUUCGAUAUCAUUUAUCUAUCAAACAAGUAGUCUAAAUUGUACAGCUGAAAAUAAAAUCUCAUGAAAAUGAUGAUAAAAGAUUUAAAUUCAAGAUCAGAUAUACUGAUUUACUCUAAAAAUGAAUAAGAAUUUCUAUAAAAUUUUCAAUCGCAUUUGAAUUGUUUACAAGUACCUUAAACUCAUAAACACACACAUCGGCCAUUAAAAUUGUCAAUUUGAGAAUCUUUUGAUCACUAGUCAAAUGAUGUUAAAAAUCUGAAAUUUAGUUUUCCAAAUACUUUCAAUAGUGUAGAUCAAGUCUAACGGAGUUGAUCGUUGAUUUGGAAGCCCCAUCAUCGAAAACAAUGGUAGCCACGGAGCGGCUCCGUGCUACCGAUAGCAUAGUAGCCCGGACACUCUCUCUCUCUCUCUUCUCCUCGCUUCCUCUCUCUCUCUCAUCUCCACUCUCUCUCUCUCUAUAUAUAUAUAUAUAUCAUAGAGUUUGACUGGACUACUAUCGGUAGUAAACUGCUCGGUUUACUACCGGUUUGUUUUUGAUGAUAGAGCUUCCAAAUCGACGAUCGGCACGUUAAACAUGAUCUAGACCAAUUAAAUUAUACUAGAAAUCAAAUUUUAUGAUUUGUUUUGCAUCUACACUAAACAUCAAAGGGUCCAUCAAAAUCUAUAAUUUUAAUAGGCCGAUAUGGUGCGUGUACUCGUUUAACGUAUAGAAGAGUUAAUCAACGUAAAUUUUUGUUAGAAAAUUCUUUAACCUAUUUAAAAUAAGAUCUAGACUCCAGAUCUCAAAUAUAAAAAUUGUCUCAUCACUUUUGAAGGAUUUUCAUUUCCAGCGCAUUCAUUUUUUUGUUCACUUGAUGGACAAGAGAACAAUAUCCGAAAAAAUGUGUGAAAUUUGAUUUUCUCAGAUAGUUAAAUAGUUUAGAUCAUAUUUAACGGGUGCCGAUCAUCAAUUUUGAAAACUCUAUCAUCGAAAACAAAUCGGUAGUAAAUCGAGCCGUUUACUACCGAUAGUACUCUAGCAAACUCUAUAUAUAUAUAUAUAUAUAUAUAUAAUUAGGAUUAGGGCCUAGAAUACUUGUGAAAGUAUCAUGCGAGGUGAUACUUGUGUGUUUUUAGCCCACUUGGAUGGAGAGAGAUGUGAGGUUGAAGUGAUGAGGUGGUAGGUGCUGGUGGUAAGAUAGUGUUUAAUCCAAGAGGCUAUAAAUAAUCAAAAGUAGAUCCAAUGGCUUUAAAACUCAAAUAGACCAUGAUGGUGAUACUUGUAAAAGUAUCAUAGCUCAACUCAUAUAUAUAUAUAUAUUAUAUAUAUAUAUAUAUAUAAUAUAUCCGGCUGGAUAUUAUCGAUAGAAACCAAGAAUUGUGCUAUCAAGUUUUCAACCGUUAAAUUUAACCCAUUAAUUAUUUUAGCCGUUAAAUUAUACAUACAACCAACCACCCACGUCAAGGCCUAUGGGGCCACAGUUCAUCCUAAUCGAUAUUCGUCAUCCAAGAGCUAAAAACUAAUAGCACCAAUAACUUGGUGCUAUUAAUAAUAUUCCAGCCUAGUUAUAUAUAUAUAUAUAUAUAUAUAUAUAUAUAUAUAUAUAUAGACACACACACACACAAGGGUCCGGUAAAGUACCAAGUACUUGGUGUUUGCAAGUUUUUCAUUGUUAGAUCUAUCCCUUUGACUAAUUCCAUCUCUUAGACAAUACUAUUCCACCAAUCAUUCACUCAACCUAAGGAAUCUCUAUUAUUCUAAUUCUAUAAAUCUCAAAUGCCGAAAACCUACAAGCACUAAUGACUUGGUGCUUUUAAAAGUAUAGGAACUCUAUUAUAUAUACACACACACAAGCUAUAUCUAUUCGAACAUGAGCGAGCUAUCCUCCAGCUCGUGUUCAUUUCGUCAAAAUUUUGAAUUGAAAAAUUCAGCUCGCAUUCGGCUUAUUUAUUAAAUAAGUGAUGAAUCCACAUCGGUUCAAAUACGAGCUAACCGAUCCCAACUUGUGCUCAAGUUAUUAAAAUUGUGAGUUGAAAAUUUUAGCUCAUAUUUGACUUGUUUAUUAAACAAGCGAUUGAUCUCAAACUCACGUUGAAUCGAAUAUAAACUGACCAGCAAAAUGCGAGCUAUCUAGGUUGUCAACCCGAGUUAAAAAUCGCGUAAGUUAAAAAAUAUGUAAUUUAUAAACCUAUUAGCCUUUGAUUUUUAAUUAAUUAAUUAAUUAAUUACAAGGCGGUUGAAACUUGAAACUAGUCACCACCCAAAUCUGACGCCGGCCAGUCAAGAAAAGGAAGACCCGACCCGACCCGACCCGACCCGACAGUCUGCUGUUAGUUAGGAGGACGAAUGCAGGACGCAAGCCCCAAAAUUAUGGCCUGCGCCUGACGUACCAUUACAUUCCAUACACCAGAUUUAAUUAUUAUUGUUUAAUAUUUUGAUGGCUAAAUUAUGCACCAAAAAAAAUUCUAUAAAUAUCCUUUUUUAUUUUUUCUUUUUAACUUUCAAAAAUCUAUAUUUAUUCCUUCAAAAAAUUUUAAAAAUCUAUAUUUCUUCUAAACUUCAAAUAUUACUCAUGUGGUUUCGCACUUUCUCACUUUAGUAUUCUGUGGUUUAAAGUGUAUUAAUUUAGUACUAUGCGGUUUCGUUUCUCUCUUUUUUUCAGUCCCUUCAUUAACUUUUCGUUAAAUCAUAUACAAAAAAUUUCAGAUAUCCUACCUAUAAUUUAUCAAAUAUUCACUUUAGUACCCUUUAGUUUUAAAUUUAUCAUUGAUUUAACGAAAAAAAAUUAGUGAAGGGGAUAACAAAAAGAAAAAAAUAAAAUUACAGGAUACGAAAAUGAUACAUUUUAAACCAUAGGGUGCUAAAGUGAGAAAGUACGAAACCACAAGGGUGGUAUCUGAAGUUUUCUGAAAAGAAAUAUUGGGUAAUAUCAAAUACACCCGUCAAAACACCUUUCAGAACUUUAAAAACAUCUAAUACACCCUUAUGGGGCCAAAAUGUUUUUAUUGAUUUCCAAAAAUUUUUUAAAAUAUAUCCCUAAAUCUUGGGUUUAUAAAUAAAAUUUGAAGUUUAGAAGAAUAGUUUGAGAAUAUAUAGAAUGAUAAAUCCCCUCAAAAAUAAAUGCUUAAAUUUUUAGGAAUCUAUAAUUUAUUAUAUUUUAUAUACUAAAUAACAAAACUUACAAACAGUACAUUCAGUUCCAGCAUUAAUCAAGUAAAAAGUUAGUUGUUGCAUUGAUCAUCAAUUACAUACCACAAAAUAAUUUAGAUGCAAACUUAAUUACUUCAUCUUUAGUUGUAUACAUUUUCAAUUACAAUUAAUGAUAGGGACGUCAAGAGGUUGGAGUGGAGGCUAGUUUUCCAAUACCCGAAUCUGAACUCGAUUUUAAAAAUUUAUAUCCAAAUCUGAACCCGAUAAAAAAAAUCCGAAAUUCGAACUCGAAACAAUUAUUUUUCUCAUAUUUAAAUAUAAUUUUUAAAAUACAAGUUCAAAUACAACAUUAAACAUUCCUACAUAUUAUAUAAUAUACAAUCAAUUCAAGUUCGAGGCAUGCUUGUGUAGAGAUAAAAUUCAUAUUCAAAUUUAGGUUAGCCGGAUUUUUAAUUUUAAUAUCCGUAUUCGAAACGAUAUCCAUUUAGUGUCUGUGAAUCAGGUCGGGUCUGGAUAGUUGGUAUACUGUAUCUGCAUCUUAAAAAAAAAUUGAUAAAAAAAUAUAUAUAUACCCUAUCCAUUUAACUUCGAAUCGGAUUUCGGUCUGGAUACUUAAGUUAAUAAUAUACCCAUCGGGUCUAUUUGAGCGGGUCUAGAUAGUAACUAUCAGUAUACUACCUGCAUGCUUAAGGCCGGGUAUGGAUCGGAUAUGGGUCGAGUCUAGAUCGGGUAUGGAUACCCGUAUGCAUAUAAUUUUAUGUAGACUUUAUUAAACAGUUUAUUAACAAACCUUAAAUAUCUAGUUGCACCCGGUCCAAUAAAAUUCAUUCAAAAAUAGAUUCAAAUAGUAAAAAGCUAGAAUUUAAAAAAUAAAGAUUAAAAUAAAAAAGGAGUAAACAAAGCAACUAGGGUUUUCACUAGGAUAAAAAUAUACAUAAACCCUUCGUCUAUAAGUCGCAUUGAAAUUAAUUCCUCAACUUCAAAUAUUUUUAUUUACUAUCGGGUAUUUGACCAGAUCCAGAUUCUGAGUCCAGAUUUAGAAACUUUUUCAUACCUUACUCACUAAAAGGUUGGGUUCGGAUCAGGUCCAUGCCGGAUAUGGUUAUAAAGCAUCCAGAUCCAUACCCAAAAUUUUAAUGGAUACUUCCUUUUACAUGUGUAGUAUCUAUUUUUAUCCGGUCCGGAUAGGGUCCGGAUCAUAUAUGAAAUAUAGGGUAUUUUGGAUAGCUUUAGAUAAACGCGCCACUUUUGGAUUUACGUGUGAAUAAAAUUUUGAAUAUUCGUACCCAUCGGCAUACCUAUAUACAGUACUUGUGAUGUACUUAUACACCUGGUGUAGGAAACACACACACACACACUCUCACUCUCUCUCAUAAGUCAUAACACCCAUUCCUCUCCACCGCCUCUUUCUCUGACCCUCCAAUGACAACUCUCCUUUUUUCUUUUCUCUCUCCUCUUUUUAUUUAUUUAUUUAUAUAUUAUUAUUUUCUAUCACUACAAUAAUAUUAUUAUUAUUAUUAUUAUUAUUAUUAUUCCUAAUCUUUGUGUUCUCUCCCCUGUUUCCGUCCCUAUUCCAAAUUACUCUUUUUCUCGAUCUAAUGCCACAAUUAUGGAACUCCCCACGAUGUCCCCACCGCCGGUGUUAUUGUUGCGUAGACCCGGUCUAUAGACCGGACCAAUCAAAUGAAAGCAUGAAAAAUUAAAAAUAAUUAUGAUUCAAUGCUGAGAAUAUCUAAUUUGAGCAACUCAAAUUAACAAUUUAAUAGAGAGUUUUAUUUUAUAACUAAUUUAAACUUAGUAUAGGUUUAUCAAUUUUUCACUUAUUUAAAAUUAUGUUAUAUCUAUCUAGUCCGAUGAUAACUCAUUUACUCUGAUUGGCUGUGCAAAAUAAAAUACUCUAUAAAUCAUCUAUUCUUGUAAUUUUGGAUUCUUAUUCUAAUUAAUUCAGAUUAGUAAAUAAGUGAAAAAUUAUAUCUUUCAUAUGAAAAUCCUAACAAACCUCUUAAAUACAUUCCAAUUUAAUUUUAGUUUAAUUAACUGGUAAUGGAUUAUAUUCUAUAGACCGGGUUCAGCUAAAAUUUUCUACCCACCGCCACGGCGAACCCUUUAUAAUUUUCCCGCCUUUUUCGUCCAUUAAUAAUUUAUCACCAUCAUUGUUUGCUCAAAUUACGAAAACACCCCUCACCCCUUCCCUAUAUAAACGCCCCAACCCUCCCCCCUCCUCCAUUACCCCAUCUCUCUCUCUCUCUCUCUCUCUCUCUCUCUCCACUAACCCUAAUUCCCCGAACCACCUCCUCCUCCUCCUCUAAUGGCGCACUCUCACCUCCUUAUCCUCGUCCUCUUCGUCUCGGUCUCCAUCUUCGCCUUCAUCACCGGCGCCGCGGCCUCCGACAUGUCGAUCAUCGCCUACAACACCGCCCAUGGCGUUCGCGGCAUCGGCGUUGAUCGGAGCGAGGAGGAGAUGCGGCAUCUCUACGAGGACUGGCUCUCGAGGCACGGGAAAGCGUACAACGCCCUCGGCGAGAAGGAUCGGCGAUUCGAGAUCUUCAAGGACAACGUGAGGUUCGUCGACGCCCACAACAACGGCGACGAUGCUUCCACCUUCCGAUUAGGGUUGAAUCGGUUCGCCGAUCUCACGAACGAGGAGUUCCGGGCGCUCUACCUCGGGAGGAAGGGGGAGAGGAGGAUGAGAUCGGGGCCGGAGGGUAACGGUAACGUGACCGGGCGUUACCGUUACGUGGAGGGGGAGGAUCUCCCCGCGAGCGUUGAUUGGAGGGGUAACGGCGCCGUCACCGCCGUUAAGGACCAAGGGAGUUGCGGUGAGUUUUGUUUCCUCUCUCUCAUUACACUGCACGUAAUACUUAAAUGAUAGUAUAUUAUAUCUUAAAAAAUCGAAAUAAAAUCUAAUAGUUAUGACCUAAAAUUUUGUUAGGAGUUUAUGUAUAAAGAAAUCCUGAUUUUUCUUCUGAAUGAUUCUCAUUAAUUAGUUCUAAAUAUCAAUAUUUUAUGAUUAUGAUAUGGUGGGAAAAACUUGUAAAUUUUGAUAAUUUAAGCGUUUUAAAUUUGUAAGGCUUUAAUGCUUUUUGUAUUUUAUAUUAUCCUUGCAAAUAAUGACGUAAAUCUAAUCGAUUACCUUUUCUUUUUUUACUUUAAAUAGAGGGAACAAUUUCACCUUUGCUUUCGCACGAAGAAAUGGGUCGUUGUUGUCGCAAUUACUCUUGUGCCCUUCGCGUGAAUUAGGGUUUGAAACACUUUUUCACCUGAUGGUUUUUUUUGGUCUUUAGACGAGGAAAAAGAAAGCUUUUUUCUUCUUUUUUUUUUACUUUUCUGAUUGGCGUGUGAUUUAACGCCGAAUCGCUCGAAACUUUUUCGCUUAUCGAAACCCCCGCCACAAUUUUAUCACCUCCGCUUUUUAAAUUUCGUCGUUUUCCGAAGCUCUCGGAACUUUCGUUAUCAAAUAUUUAAUUAUUAUAACAAUUUUAAAUGAUUUUUCUCUUUUUUCUGUUUUCGUUUUGUCUCUAUAUAGUUUGUCUUUAAAUAAACAAUCACAUAAAUUUAAAAUCAAGUAAUUAGAUGUGUUAACAUUAUGCAAUAAUUCAAGUUCAUAAUAACAAUUAUUCAGAUUCAGACAAUUAUUACGUAAUUAGGCGUAAAUAUUAAUUAUGAAAGCAUUAGUAUUUUAAUGGUAAGACAUCUGAGAGUGCGCUAUGUGUUUUGAGUCUGAGUUAAAGGGGUUCUUGAUAGAAUUAUAGAGCAUCAAACUCCUGAUUCUUAAAAGAAAUGAUAUUAAUUAAAAUUAGAUCUAAUAUAUUUGUUUAUCUUAAACUAGUAAAAAAGAAUACUUUUAAUUUAUCAUCAUAUAUAUAUAUAUAUAUAUAUAUAUAUAUUAAAAUAAAUUAGAUUUAUUGAAUUAGUGUAAUUUGAUUGGAUAUUAUUAAUAUUUAGUUGUAGGGAUAAUUGCCUAUAUACUCCUCAUAUGUUUGAAAAUAUCCGAUUUAUCCAUAUUUUUUUUUUUCUAAAAUAACCCUCAUAUAUUCUACUAUUAUUGCAAAAUACCCCCGCAGUUAUCUUCUGCUAAGUUAACUUAGGUUAAACGUGAGUUAAAUAUCUACCACAGUUAAAAAAAAUUAAAAUGCCAAUUUUGCCCUUAACUUAAGGGUAAAUAAAAAAUGUUGUUGACGGUAGAGGGGUAUAUUGGAAAAGACCAAAAGUCAAAAUAUUUUUUGUUUCCCUGACUUUAAGGGCAAAUAAGAAAGUCAGUGAUGAUGGAGGGGUAUAUUUGAAAGGGCAAAAUAGUAAUUUUACAGAGAUAACAGAGUUAAUUAACAGAUUUAACUCUAGGAGUAUAUUAGAAAUAGGUUGGAACGUAGAAAGAGUAUUUUCAAUACUAGCCUUCUAAGAGGAGUAAAUCGAAAAGUUAGGAACUUUUUAGGGGUAUAUAAGCAAUUGUCCCUAGUUGUAUUAUGUAAGGUGUAUAAAAUUUGUAAUAGCUUUAAAAUAUUACGUGAACUGAGAAAAGAAAAACAUUAGGAUGUUCCUUUUGUAUAAUCAUGUAUUAGAUUCAGUACAUAGUUGCAUCAUUAUCUCUUUAAUUCAAAUAUUAUGAUUAAAAUUGCCGUGAAAUUCAAUGCGAAGUUACAUACCAUGUAUGCACAUUAAUUUCUCUAGUAUGAAUCAUAAAGAUGAAGUAAUUCGGUGUCUAGUGAAACAUAAGGGGUUAAUUGUAAUAAUCUCAAAAAAUCAUAUCGAAUAAUUAUUGCAAGCUUCAGUGAAAAAUGCCAUCAAAAUCAGCUAUCUGUUACAUACCAUGAGUUCUCAUAAUAUGUUUGUGAUUAGUCCCAAAAUAAGAAAAUUAGAACUAUAUUUACUAAUAGAAGGAUUACAUACCAUGAGUUCUCAUAAUAUGUUUGUGAUUAGUCCCAAAAUAAGAAAAUUAGAACUAUAUUUACUAAUAGAAGGAUUGGUGAUGCAGGGAGUUGCUGGGCAUUCUCAACGAUUGGGGCAGUGGAGGGAAUCAACCAGAUCGUGACCGGUGAGCUGAUUUCGCUGUCGGAGCAGGAGCUCGUGGACUGCGACACCAUCGAGAACCAGGGGUGCAAUGGCGGCCUUAUGGACUACGCCUUCGACUUCAUUGUCAAGAACGGUGGCAUUGACACCGAGGCUGACUACCCCUACAAGGCGGUCGAUGGGAAAUGCGACGUGAAUAGGGUAUGUAUUAUCCUUGCAUUCUAUAGUUGUAAUUGGCUUCUUACCAAAUGUAAGGUUGUCAUCUAUCUAUGAGAUCUAUAGGGCUUGUAUUUGUCAAAAGUCAUAGAUUUUUGGGAACCUUUUACUUAUAGUAACAAGCACUAACCUUUUAUCUAUUGUUGAUUUUGGAACCCUUGAUGCCUGCAUAGCUCCAUAGUACCUAUACUGAAAUAUUUCAAAAACUUAGGGAUGUUGAUAUGUAGUUUUUCUACAUCCUGUAGAUCAUGUGUAAUGGUUUAUAUUCCAAUUUGAAUAUCUUUAAGAUUGAUAUUUUAAUGCCGAGAAGGUCCAGUGAAUAAUUUUUGCUUAAGGGCCCUUGUGGCUGGAGUAGCGCUUCUGCAGAAGCACUUGCUGUGUAGAGCAGAUCGACUUUUACGUACUGUUACAUAUACAAGCUUUAAUUAGAACUUUUGCUUUUGGGUCCGUACAGUAAGCUCAUUUUGGCUUCAUACUCUUAAGUAGACGCUUCAGACUUGUUGGUCGCCUCGUCUAGCUUCUGCUUCUCAAGUAGUAAAGCUGCUUCAGAAGCAAAGUUGAACCGGAGCUUAAUCGUAAAAUGAAAAGGAAUCUGUUGUUGGCGAUUGAUGUUCUUAUCAUGAUUUGUAUGUUUUGUGGUUUUUGCAGAAGAAUGCAAAGGUUGUGACGAUCGACGGGUACGAAGAUGUUCCAGCGAACGACGAGAAGGCCCUGCAGAAGGCGGUUGCGCACCAGCCAGUUAGCGUCGCUAUUGAAGCAGGCGGCCGGGCUUUCCAGCUCUACGAGUCGGUGAGGAUCCCCAAUAUUUCAUUCUUAAGAUUGUUUUGUCAUUCUUGAUCAAUUCAAUUGAUGCAACGAAUGAGGAUUUCUGGCCCUCUGGCAAACAUAGUUGGUUGCUUUAGUAAUCUUUGCGACACAUAAGAUCCUAUGAGCAUCCUAUGAGUGCCGAUACUCGUGACUAAUUUGCGUGUUGUGGUGGUGAUAUAUUAUUAUUAGGGAGGUUACUAAUUGCUGUUGAUUGCUAUCAAUAAUGUACAUAGCAAGAGAUUGGUCUAAUCAAAUUGUUUCAUUAACAAUUUGUAAACAGUAUGUCUUUAAGCGAACGUGUAGUUUCCUUGCACUCUUUUCUGUUUCACUACAUUUGCAAAAUUAUCUCAAUUACAAAAUCCGACCGCACAUCAAUAUAUAGUGUGAAUCAUACUCUGUUUGAGAUAUAUUGGAAUGCAUGAAACUCAAUCUCUGCCUCUUCAUCUCAGGGCAUAUUCACCGGCCUAUGCGGGACCGACCUCGACCACGGUGUGGUAGCCGUGGGCUACGGAACGGAGAAGGGGAAGGACUACUGGAUCGUGCGCAACUCGUGGGGACCGAGCUGGGGCGAGGCAGGGUACAUCCGGAUGGAGCGCAACGUGAACGCAGCUGCAGGCAAGUGCGGGAUCGCCAUGGAGUCCUCGUACCCCGUCAAGAAGGGCCAGAACCCCCCCAAGCCCGGCCCGUCCCCUCCCAAGCCCACCCCGUCUCCUCCUCCGGCCCCGGUGGUCCCAACCACCUGCGACAACUUCUACUCGUGCCCCUCGAGCACCACCUGCUGCUGCAUAUACGGGCUCCGAAACUACUGCCUUGCCUGGGGCUGUUGCCCCAUCGAGAGCGCGACGUGCUGCGAGGACCACUACAGCUGCUGCCCCCCGGACUACCCGGUUUGCAAUAUCAAGAGGGGCACCUGCCAAAUGGUAAUAAUUCUCAUGUCCUAUUUCAUUGAGACACUUCUAUUAGCACCAAUGUUUUCAAGCAUGAUCAGAUUGUUGGUAAUCGUCUAUAGAAAUAAAUCCCCUGUUUACGAAAACCGAAAGCACAAUUCUGGUAAAUUUUCAACUGCUCCAUCCAUCUCUUAUCUAGAUCUGAGUAGAAAAUCAUUGCUAGUGUGUUCUACAAGGAUUUAAGUGCCGUCGUAUGGGGUCGUACCUGAACUUGCCGGUACGGUACGGCACGGUGCGUGCCGAGCCGUGCCGAUACGUGCCGGUCAAAAAAAAUUCUUGUGUGUCGACACAUAAUAGCAUGAAAUAUUUAUUUUUUUUAGCAACAAAAUAUUUUAACUAUUUGUUAUGUCUUUUUAUCACAUCUGGCACGGAGUCUGUAUCGUGCUGGUAUCUUAUUGGUACGGUACGACACGGUGGAUACGGUUCGUACUGACGGGCACUUAAAAUCUUGGUGUUCUAUCAACAUCUAAAAGUCGACGAAACCAAAGAGUUUACUAUGUUGUACUAGUAAUAACAUUUUUUCGCGGAUAUUUUCAGAGCAAGGACAAUCCUUUGGGCGUCAGGGCGCUGGCCCGUGCCCCCGCAAAGCCAUUCUGGGCAUACACAGGUGCCGACGAUGACGAGAAAAGCGUGAUUUUGGCUUAGUUGAAUAUGAGGUGAGAAUUGGAGGAGGAUGCUAUUGCUGAAUUCGUCUGCAAAAAUUUCUAUCGUUUAUGAGUUGGAUUCGAAAGAUUUGCUUGAAUUCUAUUCUAGCCUUUUCUUUUCUUUUCUUUACUUUUCAUUUCAUUUCCUUUCUUUAUUUUAGAGCAAAAUCUUGUACAUGGCUCUGAAUUUACCCGUCGGAUUAAUCAAGAACUGCUUUUGAUUUGUCUUAAACUAGCUUCUUUUAGUGAAUGUAAAUAUCUAGUUUAGUAUCUGCUUGUUCUUUUCCUUUCUUUUUUCUUUUUUUUUGUGUGUUAUUUACGCUUUUUUUUUUUUUGCAUUUGGCCCCCUCAAAUUUUUUUUUUACAAAUAGUCCCAUCAAAUUUAUAAUUGCAAAUUUGGUGCUAUUCUCGCCACACAGGCGCCACAUCAGCACCACGUAGGCUGGAGGAGUGUUAACGGUGAAUGAUUUAUCGUAUUCAAUACUUAUUUUCUCUUUAAAUAUAAAUCAAUUAAGAAUUCAAAUAUCAAAUUUACGCAGAAACUUUAAGAGGGAAAAAUAAGGGGCCACUUUUAAACAAUUUCACUAUAUAAAAUUGAAUAAGUGUAAUUCCUCUCUGGUUACUGCUAGUGACAUGAAUUAUGAGCUCCAAACAAAGAGAAAUAUUCGAAAAACAUCCGAGUAAGAUAAUCGGGUUCCUAUCCUCGGUAUGUACCAUUUGGUUGGAGAAUAAAUAUAGAAUAAAGGAGUUUAUCAGAAAUUUAUUCCUGUUAUUCUACCAAACGAUGUGAAAAAUGACUAUUCCUCUCUUAACGGGUUAUUCUAGAAUAACUCGUUAAGAGAGGAGAAUUACUAUUCUUCCCUCUCCAUGGAAUAGAAAAACUUGUUCUUUAUUCUCCCCUUUAAAUAAUAAUUUAUUUAUUAAACUAUGAUAAUUAGUAUAUUAUAUUCUUAACAAAUUAAAUUCUUAAAAUAAUUUUUUCUGUUAAUUAGUUUCUAAUAAUUAUAAAAUAUUGCUAACUAAUAACUAAUUGACUUAUUUAAUUAUUUACUAACCAUUUGAAUUAUUAGAUUAAUGAAUAUUUAAUUACAUACUUGAAGAAAUAAUUGACUAUUUAUAAUCAAUCACUAAUCAAAUGAUAAAUUAAUUAAUAUGUUUAUUCAAAUAAUAACUAAUAUAUAUAAUAAUUAACUAAUAAAUAUUUUAACUUAUCAACGUAAUUUAUUAACUAAAUGUAUAAUUAAGUAAUUAGCUAACGCAUUUAAUUUAUUUCUAAAUAACUAAUUAGAGCCAUAUGAAUAAGUGGAAAAUGCCUAUGAGCCCAAAUGGCUCCCACAUAAUUCAAAAAAAUUGAUCCAAUAAAAUAUCUACAUUUAAAAGAACUAGGCUAAUAUACUAUUAAUAACACCAAGUUAUUAGUGCUACUAAAUUUUUGGCCAUUGGAUUAACAGAUGUACGGUUAGGAUGAUGUGUGCCUCCUAGAGUUAAGUGGGUAAUUGGUUGAAUAGUAUGAUCUAACGGAUGAAAAUGAUCAAAAGGGUAGAUCUAACGGCGAAAAACUUGGUAGCACUAAGUGCUUCGUGCUAUUAAUAGCAUAUUAGCUGGACUCACAUUUAAAAUAUCUAUAUUUUUGCACAUAACUCUUUCACGAGGAGGGACACCACUGUGGAUGAUGUGUUUAUUUGUUGAUCGCCUCAAAAUUUUCUAUCUUAAUUAAUGUAUAUAUUAAUUUUUUUAAAAAAAAAUUGGCACUUAGAUUCUGUGUAAUCUCAUUAGCUUUGGGCCAAAACUGAAUGAGAAUCAAAACAUGCAAUCAAAAUUAUGAAACAUCCAAACUAAUCAUCAGCAUCAGCAUCAUUUUUAGUUGCUGUAUUUUUAAUUUUAUUUGUUGUAUUGUGGUUGUGGCCCAUCUCGUAAGCAACAUCAAUUAUAAUAUAGUAUUUAUUAUACAUUCUAAAACACAAUAAAAUAUUUUUGAGUAAUUAUCAAAAUCAAACGUAAAAAACUCUAAACAUAAAUUCAAUAAUAACAUCUCUUUGAGUCUCCUCCGUUUGGUUGUGUUCGAUUUGAUUUUUUUAAAAAAUAAAAAUAGAAAAAAUCGGAUUAUUCGAAACUUUAAUAAUUUAAUGCAUAUUAUUACUCCUUAAAUUUAAAAAAAGUAUUUGGAUUGAAAAGUUUUAGUGUGUAGAAUUAAUUAUAAUUAUAAAAUAUUUAAAUCAAAUAACAUUUUUUUAUAAAAAUUAAAUAAGUAAACUAAACCAGUCAAAUUAUUUUCUUUCAUUUGAUUUGGUUCGUGCUUUCGCUUUAAUUCGCUUUAAUUCUAUUUUAAAAAAGAACCGUAAAAACAGACCCGCACCAUAUGAUGCUCACCUUAUUUGGAUGUUGGAAUGGGAAUAAAAGUUUCGAUAUGAGAUGAUAACUUAUUUGAUAUUAGAAUUUUCUAGUAUGAUUGAAAAUAAAAAUUUUAUUUUUUAUUUCUUCAAAGAUAUUAUUAUUCAUAAUUUAAUAAAAUAGUAUAUUUUAUAUACGAUACCACAUUUCUUAUUAUUCAAAUGGAUAUAUAUUUUUGAAGUAAAUUAAGAACAUGCGCUAAAUAAGAUAUUUAUGCAUGUAAAUAAGUUUUGCCGCUCUCUCACACGAAGCUAAAAUACAAAAAAAACCUCCAUAAAUAUGCCAUAUUCACUUUUCUCUUUUGACUCUAAAAAAUUUAUAUAUUGUCUGCUUAAAAUUUUACAAAUAUUUUUAAAAAGUUAUGACGUAAAUAAAAAAACCAAAUAAUCAAAUUAUACUUAUUUAUUUUAUAAAAAAUAAAUAAAAAAUAAAUUAUACUUAUUUGUUUUAAUAUAUUUUUGAUAUAAAUUAUAAAAAAUAGACAGAAUAGUGACGAAGACAGAUAAAGCGAGUUAAAUGUAUCAGUUUAAAAUUCGAAAAAACUUCAAAUACCCUCCUGUGGUUUCGCAUUUUCUCACUUUAGUACCCUGUGGUUUAAAGUGUAUCAAAUUAGUACCCUAUGGUUUCGCAUUUUCUCACUUUAAUACUCUUUGGUUUAAAGUGUAUCAAGUUAGUACUUUAGUUUUAUUUUUGUAUCAAGUUAGUACCUUGUGGUUUCAUUUUUCUCUUUUUAUUAUCCAUUUCGAGAUAUUUUUUCAUUAAAUCAGUGAGAAAGUUAAAACUAAAGGGUACUAAAAUAAAUAUUCGAUAAACCUAGGUAUGGUAUCUGAAGUUUUUUAUAUAUAAUUUAACGAAAUAUUAAACCAGAGGGUGCUAAAGUGAGAAAGUGCAAAACCACAUGAUACCAAGUUGAUGCACUUUAAACCACGGGAUACUAAAGUGAGAAAGUGCGAAACCACAUGGUACUAACUUGAUUCACUUUAAACCACAGGGUACUAAAGUGAGAAAAUGCGAAACCAUAAGAGGUGUAUUUGAAGUUUUUCUUAAAAUUAUGACAGUGUGAAAUAUAAAUUUUUAAAAAAUAAAAAAAUAAAAAAUGGGAUAUUUAUUAGACCAAAUUUUCUCUAUUUUACCCCCAAAAGAGAAAGGGUAAAAAAGAAAAGAAAAGAAAAGAAAAGAAAAAAAAAAACUUGUUGCCUUUUUUCUCUUCAACGCCGUUGCCCUCUCGAUCUCUCUCGUUAAGACGUAAACCCAAUCACUCCCCGCCGCGACGAUACCAAAAUUUUUUUUUUUUUAAAAAAAAAACCCUCCCCUCCUCCGCCGCCGCCGCCGCCGCCGACGACGACGACGACGACGACGAUGGUUCAGGCGAAGAGCAAGAAGCCGAAGCCACGGAAGCCGCAGCGCGACGCCGUAAAUCCUCUCUCUCUCUCUCUCUCUCUCUCUCUCUCUCGAUCGAUCGAUCGAUCGAUGGAUCCCACUUCCAUUGUUAGAGAAUCAAGAUUCGUCGGAGAGGAAUAGCUUUCUCAUGGAAUCUAGCUCUUUUUUUUUUUUUUUUUUUUGAUGAUGAUCAUUAGGAGGUUAUUACUUGAAUCUUCUUGAAUCUAUUGCAUGUUGUUUAAGAUGGAUUUAGUGUAAGAAGCAAUGAUUUAUACAUGCUUAUAAUUUGUCUGUUCAAUCUCUUUGAAAUUAUUAAGAUCUUUAUAGGUGAUACUUCCUGAUGGAAUCCAUGGGUAAACUUCAAAUUAUCAAAUUACCCCCCGUGGUUUAGCUCGUUUUUACUUUGCCGCCCUGUGGCUUGCUAAGAAAUGUUAACUUUGCCACUCUAUUUCAUAUAGAAUUUUUUGGUAAAAAUCGUAAAAUAAAAAUUAAACCACGUGGAGGUAAAGUGAAUUUUUUUGAACUAUAGGGUGGCAAAGUGAAAAUAAGCUAAGCCACAAGGAGGGGACUGCGAUUUGAAGUUUACCCUAAAAAAAGAAAAAGAACUUAGCUACAUAGGUGUGACAGUUAGGCCUCGAAGAGACAAAAAAAAGACGGCGAAAGUGGAGUCCCCUAAAAGCACCAACACCACCUGAAACCCUAGUAAGGUGGAAUUAGAAGCUCUACAUCUUACAUCUAAUUAUGCUUUUUCGCAAUCAAUCAACUUUGACCAUCGCAAAUGCGUCCGAAAUAAUCUACCCUUUAGGAAUGCUGAUUGGGUGGGCGAGAUUAUAUUAUGUAAUAGCUAGCUCCUUUCGGAACGAAAUGAUCUUUUGUACCCUGUUUAUGAGGCUAAUAGGUUGAAAGCUGUUGGCUUUGCUUGCAUCUCUGUUCUUCGACAUGAGGCAGAGACAUAUGAAUUAUUUAUAUGUCCAGUAGUCAAACUACCAUUAUAGAGCUCCCAAAAGAUGUUGAAGAUGUCGUCUUUUAUAGCCCAUUUGGUUCACGGUUUAUAAUAUUUCCGUAAUCCCCUGAAAGAAGGGCUAAAGUGUAUACCCUCUUGAGUUGUAUUAAUGAAUAUAUAUAGUACAAGAGAUUGUCUUACUAUAGUAACAAUGACUACUAUAGUAAGAGUAUAACUAGGAUUACAUACUAUAUAAUCCUACUCUAUAGAAGGCAAUGAUACUACUCUAUAUAAGGCAAUAAAACACAAUAUCCUAAUAUAUCGUAACAUCCUAAUAUAGAUAAAAUAUAUCGUAACAUCCCCCACAUUUUCUAUUAAAAAUAUUUAAAUCAUUACUAUUCAAGUUAAGUGGGUAAAUUGUAAAAGAUGUUAGUAAAGUAGUGGAAUCAUUGUAGUUUCCUAGAUGGUAGGAAUGCUAGAUUAUCACGAGUUAAGAUAUAUUCUCAUUUUCAUACUUGAUGGGAAUUAUUAGUAGUCCAUUACUAAUAAUAUACUAGUUCAGUAGUUCUUAACAACGGCUCAACCCUAGUGACUUGAUAAGUUAGUAACAAAUUUGCCAUUCCAAAUAUAAAAUAUAAAACAUUCCAGGAAUAUUACAAACAUUGAAAUAAACGCCCCCUUAUUGCUUCCCAGAAGGUUUGGUAAAACACUAGAUGACAACUAUCGAGGCAAGGUGCUUUGUCCCCUCCCAAUUGGGAGGUGCGCCUCAUAAUCUCAGCCAUAAACAACUCACUCUAGUCCGCUUGCAUGCCAUACUCCUGUCCAGAUGGAGCGAAAGCCUCUUUAAACUCGUCAAAGAAAUAGUCUUGCUUUUUCUCUCUCUGUAUAUUCUUCUGCUGUUUGCAUCAAUCAUAUCAAUUGCGUGGUUCCGUCUUAUACUGUUCGCCGCUGCGUGGAAGAACUUCGUAUUGCCAUCUCCCUCCUGUAAGCAUCUUUGCUCUAUGUUAGAGGCCAAUUCUAGUUAUUCUUCCUUUAUGUCCAAGUUCUGAAUCUCUUCCAUAGUCUCCUUCAUUUUAAAAUAGUGUAGAAAUGUGUGGAGUACCACUUUUUUUGACAAUGCCUAAGCCUCGCUGUGACUUGAAUCUUUGCUGGGCACUUCUUUAUGUCAGAUAGGAACCUUUUGUAUAAAGUCUUCCCUUGUUUACCAUACUUCCGGUUUUCACACUUUGUCGCCGGUCAAAAGUAGAGUAGGGAAAUGAUCCGAAGCGUGGCUGGACCAGCUGAUAUGGAACAUAAGCACUAUAGUUUGUAUGUGCAUUGUACCUACUAUGCCCAUAAGAGUUUGUUAAUGUGGAAUUUGCUAAAAUCAAGGGCACAACAAGGUGAAACUUCAUAGAAAAACACUAGUACGCUACAAUGGGUAGAUUUGCUAUAUCUACCCCUACUUUGUCUCCCAAUUCUCCCAAGUUUUAGUAUCUAAGUUUUGAAUUUGAACUCUGAAAGUUUGGUUAUAUUGUAAAGUGAAUCAGCACUUAUUAGUUUGCGAUAUUUAGAGUGUUUUGGCUAGAAUAAGUAAACUUGAUGAUUUCAUGGCUCAUGAAACUUUUUUUUUUAAUCCUUCCAUGCACGUUGUAGGAUCAGCUUAUCUCUAUUUCAAUACUAACUGCUAUUAUAUUGCUAUAUAUAUACCCUUUAUUGGCUAAUAAGGGUAAAUAUUCUGUGUGGUACAUAGGUAAAGAAGCAUGGGAAGGAUGCUAAUAUGACAGAAUUUUGUGCUCAAUUGGACACCCUAGGGUUAAAGAUAAUUCAAGUGACAGCGGAUGGAAAUUGUUUCUUUAGGUUUGUAGAGAAAAUUUUACUUUUCUUAUUUUGUUCAUCAUCGGAAUGGAUAUGUUACUACUGUACCAAUGAAUGUAAAUGGAACCCAUAACAUGCAUUAGAACAUGUUUUAUUUAAUCCUUUCUUCAAGUUUCUAUGUAUUCUGUGAGUACUCAAGGUAGCUUGCAGGGCUUUAGCUGACCAGCUAGAGGGCAAUGAAGAAGAACACCAAAAGUACCGUGCUAUGGUUGUACAAUACAUUGUGGUAUGUAUGUACAUCAUUGUAAAUCACAUGGAAAUUGAUUCAGCUACCUUUAGAUUGAUAUCAUGUGCAUAAUCUAGUUACCAAAUACACCCAAUCGUACACUUUUCUUAAUUUUAUGCAAUCAAGAUUAAUAAUGAACUUUGAAUAUGUUAACUUAUCCUUAUAAUAAAGUUGAGUUGUUGAAUUUUUCUUUCUUUUUUUCUUCCCUUUGCCAAAUUUUGUUUGUUAUACUGUCGUAGCUAAAAAUGUUUAGUAAAUGCUAAGUGGGAGUAUUACAUUUUCCUAAGAUUUUACUCAACAGUUUGUUCUAAAUGAUAAAGAAAAUCUAAUUCCUCUAGUUUUCAUGUUUAUAGAACCACAGAGAAGAUUUUGAGCCAUUCAUUGAGGAUGAUGUUCCAUUUGCUGAAUAUUGCGAGUCCAUGGAGAAAGAUGGUACAUGGGCUGGCAACAUGGAAUUGCAAGCGGCUUCUCUUGUUACUAGAAGAAACAUUUGUAUUCAUCGGGCAAGUUCAUAUCUUUUUUAAUCAUGUUUAUAGCUAUUACAACUUGAGGAAAAUCUUGACUGUUGUUGAUUGGUAUAAAGUUUAAAAUCGCUAGUAAUUUUUUGAUUGGUAUAAAGUUUAAAAUCGCUAGUAAUUUUGUCCUCUUUUAAGCUUUUGAAAUAUGAACUAUAAGAUCAUUUUCUUUCCUUUCCCAGUACUUAUGUUUAUUUUGAGUAUAUUCGAUACCCGAGUCUUUUUUAGAUAAUUUAUCUCCCACUAACACUUAUUCAACUAGUCUAGUUAGAUCAUGCCAAAAGUCCUCCUGAUUUGGUCUUAAGUUGCACCGAUAAUAUUCUUCUUCUAGUUGCUUUUUGUUCACUAUGCUGUCUCCUAUUAAUUUUUCUUAUACAACUUUUUGUUUAACAUUUGGAUUUGUUUUGUUUUCCAAGCACUAGAUAUAUUGUCUUUUGUUUUCAGUUUGCCAGAUUUUUAUACUUUUGCUCCAUUUCAUCUGAGGAAUCAUGUAAUUCUUUGAUGUUUGUAAUAAUUAUCAUGAGAUUCUAUCUUUCAAGUUAGCGAUCGGUCUGUUUUGUUUGAAUAGAGGAGUUCAAAGAAGCAUUAAUGGCCUUUUCAUUUAAAUUAUCCCAACAGCAUCCUGUUGCAAUAUAAGCAAAAGCUACAAAUUAGAACUUCUACUGGGAUACAUAAGCUCAUUUCACUUUCCUUGGAAAAAGGCUCCUACAUUUUUGUAUAUCAAAUGCUUGGUUGUAGCUUUUUGAAGUAGAGAAGUUAUUUGAGAAGCUAGGCCAAACUGGUACUUAGCCACACGCAUCCUUAAUAUUUUGGAGACCUUUUAUCUUUUGAUCUUGUAAUCUUUUUUAUUUUUAAUUUUUUCCUAUUAUCAGCCAUUUUGCUUUACAUGGGUGCCGUGGCUUGUUUAGAAUGAUCUCUUGUUAUGUUUUACAUCUGUUUUAGUAAUUUAAGCUUCUUUUGAUUGAGUGGUCAUAAAUAUGUUUGAAUGCAGCUUAACUCUCCACGUUGGUACAUAAACAAUUUUAGCGGUCGUGAUGGUAGUAUGAUUCAUUUGUAAGUUUUUUAUCCUUGACUUUUGUUAUGCUCUAGUUUCCACCGAUCAAUGGGGUGAGUUAUGAAAAUACUUUUUAAAUGAUAUUUCUGAUACUCAAGGGUUUUAACUUUUAUAUUUCAUGUUCUUAAUGAAGUAUGAAACAUGUUCCAUUUCUCAGUUUCCAUUUGACGUUUGGUCCGUAAGCAAAAUGUAACAAGUUGGCAGUUUGUGGUUAACUUUUAGUGGCCGUGGAUGGAAAAUUUUCCAAAUAAUAAAGAAAAAGGAAAAAAUGCUUUAAAAACUAGGGAAAAUUGGGGGGAAAAAAGGAAACCUAAGGCGCCAUUUGGUAUUUUGUUUGUUUUUUAUUUUUUUAAAAUGACAUUUCUACAUAGAAAACUGCAGGUGUUGACAGUGGAUUGUUUGCAAUCCCUUUAUCCUAGAUGUUUAUUUGACAACAAAAAAUAAGAACUUGAAAACAACUUUUUUUUCGCUUCCAAGUUUUUUUUUUUAUUUAUUUUUAUUUUUUAAAGUUGUCAUCAUAUAUCACUUGGUCAGGGUACAUUGCAAACUAAUUAAUCAUGACAAUAAGAGGAAAAUCCUUUUUUCAAUACAUCAACUUAUAUAAAAUUAGUGUUUUAAAAAAUAAAAACAUGACAAUGAUGCCAAACGAGGCCUAAGUAUAAAAAUUAAUUUGGUAGAUAAAGUUGUAAUAAUGCUUUAUAUCUGUCUAUUGUCAUUCAAUGGCUUGUAACAUCUUUCUAUUCCCAUUCAAUAGUUUUAAAUUCUGUUGUGAUAUUUAUGUACUAUUGCCAUAGUUCUGGGUUUUGUUUGUGAAGGAGUCUUAUUAUUGCGUCUUGUGAUAGAUCAUUCUCAUUGAGAUGCUUUCUUGAGAAUGAUUUGAUGCAAGAUGUUUUUAGUUGCCAACAUUGGAAUUAUUUAUAGUCCUAUAUUCGCGAUGAAAUAAAACCAGGGUAGACUGAUUUAUUAUAUUGAUUAAUGCAGAUCUUACCAUUACGAUGAACAUUACAAUAGUGUUCGGCUGAAGGAAGAUUCUUGUCAAGGACCUGCUUUGCCGAUUAAUAUUAAGGUUUUCUACUUCAAGUUUUGAAUUCUGAUAUACUUAUUUUCACCACGUCCAUGAGAGUUGUACCGACUAACAUACUCUGACAAAGGAUUAGUAAUUUAAUCCAUGAAUGUAGCAAUUAAAUCCUUCCUAUAGUAUACUGUCUGGAAAAAGACUCCAUAUCAGAAUCAUGUUAUACAUGACGUUCUUUGAGGUUGGUCCUGGUCGCAGGUAAUGCUGACUUUGUGUUCUUCUAUUGAUCAAUUAAUUGGAGGGCUUAAUUGUUACGUGGAACAAAUUUCAGGGCUUAAAUUGCUAACAUUCGAUCUCUUUUGGACAACUGAAAUUGUGAUCAUACUUCAGGGACUAAAUUUGUAAUUAACUCUUCAAUGAAAUUGCCCGAUCUGAUAUUACUACCACUCCCAUGUAGGCUGAUGCAAAUAUUUCUAGAGCAACACAUAACCCUAAUAUUGAAUCGAAAAGAUCCUUUCAUAAAUCUCCCUGGGAUGUGGGCUCAGUUAAGCUGGUUGUGGCCGGAACAGGCUGUAAUAACAUUGACAAAGUUGAGCAGGUAAGAUUUUCUUUCAGGUUAAUGAAGUACUUGGGAAAUUAAUAGGUAAAAAGCAAUUCUACAUGAAAUUAAAUUAUCGGUCAUGUUGUAUAAAUAGGUUUUACGAGAAGUAGAUGGCGAUGUUGAUACUGCAAUUGAGUUUUUGAUUGCUGACCAGCAGGCAUCAGAUGGAAAUGACACUGAAGACAAAUCGUCUAAGGACAUCAAUCAUCAUGGUAACGCUUUACAUGUCUUGUGGUUUGUACAGAUAUUCUAUCAUCUUCGAAGUGUUAUGGUUUCCACAAAGUUUUAUUCUGUCGAAUGACGCCGGCCUCCACUCAAAUACUUGAUGGCAAAGAAAUAUCUAUUUUUUUUAUUGUUAUUAUUGUCAAAUGAAUGACUUACCCUUAAUUUUUCUCGUUGCAUUGUCAAUAUUAUAUAAUUAAUAAUAGUAAUCAAGAAUUAAAGUGCCCAUCGGCUCGGUCCGACGUAUCGUGCCAGUAAGAUAUUGGCACGAUACAGCCCCCGUGCUGUUAGCACAACUCAAAACCUUCUAUUUUUGAAAUUAUUAAGUAAUUUUCUCAAUAAAAUUUAAAAGAUUUGAUAAAAGUACAUAAUAAAUAAUUGACAUAUUUUUUGCUGCUAAAGAAAAUAAAUAUUUCAUGGCAUUACGUAUCGGCACACAUAUAUUUUUUGUGAUCGACAUGCAUCAGCACGGCCUGGCACGGACCGUGCCCUACCGUGCCGGUUAAGUUCCCGGCACGAUCUCGUGCCGUGGCACUUAAAUCCUUGAUAGUAAUAAUGAUAAUUUAUUUAUUUUUUUUAUUGUUGUGAUUGGUGAUUUAAUCUUUUCGUCCUUAAGUUGCAUGUAUUUGGUAACACAUGAUGUAUCCUCUAUGUUCUCUUAUCUCCGUUUUAUUUUCCAACCUAUAAUGUUGCUUGAACUGCUUGUCAGACCUUUUAUACUGUUUUAUAUAUUAAGCAUCUAGCGCAUAUAAGUUAGGCGGGCUUACUUCUUUUCUAACUUUUCCUAAAUGAGGCACCUUUCUCUAAUUCAAUUUAGUCUAAAAGAGAUCCUAUUCUUUUGAUGUAACAGUCCAUUCUAUAUAUUCGUAGAACUUAGUAUUUUCCUCAUAUAUGAGCAACCAAAAUUUUGUAACUACUUCCUAGAGGAUGAGUAUUUCGUCAACUUUCUUUUUCUUUUUCCUUUUUUUCCCUUUUCCCUUUGUUUUCUUUUUGGGGUUGAAGUGGGUUGUCCGAGUGAAAGCUCUUACUUUGCAAACAAACUAUGCUUCCUACAAUCAGCAAAUUGACAGAGAACAUGUCUGCACUCUAAAGAAAGGAACUAAAAAUUUAUUGAUGGCGUAAACUAAAUUGUCCUCUUCCAUAGAUGUAUUCGCAGUAUUACAUAAGUCACCUACUAAUUAUAAGUCGAGACCGUGAAUAUCUAUAUGGAAACAGAUAAAUAUUUUCAGUUCUCUCCAAUUUCCAUUAUCCUGCGAGUAAGUACCAUUACUAAAUUUUUCGUGGUCCUCACUCCUAUCAUCCCAGUAGACGAUGAUAAGGAGAAUUGCGAUCAACUGGAGGUGGAAAUAGUGGAGACAAAUAGCGAAAAAGGUGCAUCUACUAAUAAGGUAUUUACCAUGGCAGCAAGUAGAAAUCUUUCUUUUUUAAGUCAAUUUUGGACUUUUGUUUAGUAUUUUCUUUUUCUUUUUCUUGUGAAGAAAUUACCGAGAACUAGAGCAUGCUCUUGUGGAUCAACAAAGAAGAACAAGGCUUGUUGCGGUUCAACCACGACAAAAUCAUCUGCAGCACCUGUAAUGUAUUCUCCAUUUCUUCUUUCUGUUGAGAUGCUUUGAUCAGAGAUUGAAUACUUGUUUAUUUGUGUAUAGGGUAAAUCUUGUGCCGCAUUUCCACAUAGGUGACUUGUUGUUUCUUUUGCAUCAAUUAGGUGCCUUUUGUACCAGUCAGUCUCGUUAAAGUUGAUUAACGGUUGGGUUUUUAUCUAUUUAACGGGUUUCGAUUUUUGUUCGAGUCAGAUUUUGACCUAAACCUAGAAUGACUCAUUUAUUUUACCUAUAAAAUGGCCUUGUGCAAGUGCAUGACUGCAUGUACAAACGACAAGAUUUUUGGCAUAUGUUGCAGAUAAUAGGAUAUUACGAUGAAUUGCUUUAAAUUGAGACUAAUGGGAAGUAAGAAGUGAAAUUCUAUCUAACAUAAUUAUAUAUUAAAGUACUUUUAAAUAUUUGAAUACAAAAUAUUGAGAGACUUAACUUGCUAUUUCCUUUGCCAAACAUGUUCCCAGUAAAAGCAAAGGAGCUGCGAGUAAAGGGAAGAAAGGAAAGAUACAAAGUAAGAAAAAAGAAACAACAGGUGAAGAACCGCUUCAUCGAUCCGCACUGCUACCAGAUAUGGGAGCUCUUUGCAUUUAAUCAGUAGAUUCAAGGUAUUAUUUAAAAAACAAUUAAAUAUGCAAAAGGACAUCAAAGUUUUCUUUUUCCUUUUUCUUUUUUUAGCGGACUUGCUAAUUGAUUGUUCUGUAAGUGACUCAGGCACUUUUUGUUGGUUUGAAGAGAGUGUCGAGCUAAUUUUGAGGUGAGAUGUACUCCUUUGAGUCUCGACUGCGACACGGCAUGCGCGACACAGUAUAUUUCUCCCAGGUAAUGUGUAUUAUGGAAAUGGCGAUGUCCUGGUCAUUUAAUUGAUCAUAUUGGCUUAUUAUUUCAGGCCUUUAAUUGUGACAUGUACACAAUAUCGUCGGGAGGAUCAACGCCUCAAAAAGCACUUCUUCCUACGAGAAACACGUCUUGGAGAAUCUGCAGGUGCUUUUCAAGAUUCAAGUUACUUACAACUUGUCUAAAAAGCACGAAAAUUAUAAUUUGGGUUAUCAUUGUUGAAUGUUCAUGAACAGUUUCUUUUUCUUUUUUCCUUUACAUUCCUUAUGGUGCUUGUGGUUGUUAACCUAUAGUAGACAAUAAAUGAUAUAGUAUUAUGUGUAUUUGUUAUAAAUGCAGUAAAUGGCAAUUGCAUAUGAGCUCUCUUAAUGUUUAUUUGUGCUCAAUUGAAUUGUAAUGAUAUCUUUUUAGGUAAACACUUUAUGAGUUGUGUAUAGAAAUUAAGGUUCUUUGCGGAAAAUGGUUUUCUUUUGGUUGAAUUUCAUUUAACAAGAAGCAAUUAAAGGGCAUACUUGUCUUAAACUGUUCCAAUUCGAAUUCGCACCGAUAUUACUGGCCAAUUUAGGCAAUUUUUUGGACGGUUGUUUUAAUUCAUCAAUAGUUUUUAUUAGUUAGAUGCAGAAGUUUUAAAUUAGAGCUUUUAUUCUUAAAUAUUUUUAUAGGCUUCUGUAGCCAUUUAGUAGCCAUACCUUUUUUUUUUUUUUUGUCCGUAGAGCGUCUGCUUUUGCUUGUCUAAGAGAAGUGGCUUUAAAAGAGACUGCUGCUAGUGAGAAGCAGAAACUUGGAAUAAUUGUUGACUUCUGCCCCAAAACUACUUAGGGGCGGGAUGUAGUUAUAAAAAUAGUGUAGUUGAAAAUAAAUGCAGUUGCAGAUGCUGCAGUCGUAAUUAUAUCCGGUCCGUUUGGUUCUAUACAGCUGCAACUGCUGUAGUUACAUUUUUUCUAUUUGGUAGGCCUAAGUUAAGAUUUGUAUUUGUAAAUUCUGUCACUUUUAAGAUAGAGAGAUGGGAUUAACUCUCCUGAACACAAAAUAAUCAUAUGAUCUUUUAACAAUAGGUAAAAAAUAAAAUAAAAAACCUGACAACACAAUCCAGUGUACUAAGAUAACCAAAAAAAAUAUGUGACAUUAAUACAUGUAGCAUCAAUACAUAUAGCAUCAAUUAUAAAAUAUUAUAUUAAAAAUGAUAAAGUAUGUAUUAUAAAAUAGCAUCAAAUAUAAAUAUAAUUAAAAAAUAUUUUUGCUCUCUCUCCAUUGUAUGUUGAGUGAUUGUAAAAAAAAAAAAUAGUAUAUAAGACAUAAGGAAUAUAUAUAUCAAAAAGUCCACCUCUUUUUUUCUAUCUAUCCACCAACAUCACAUGACUACUUUUUUUUUUUUUUUUUUUUUUUUUUUUUUUUUUUUUUGAGGAGGAAAGGAAGGGAGAGACUAUUAUUUUUAGGAGGAAAGGAAGAGAGAGAGAGAGAGAGAGAGAGAGGGAGAGAGAAACUUACUACCCUCGGGCAGAAAAUGAGAGAGAUUUCAAUGGAUGGUGCAAAUAAAAACCCUUUCUGCAAUAAAAUGUGUGGAAAAAAUCACACAUUAAUUUUUUUUUUAUUGGUGAGCCACUUCAGUUCAAGUGUUCAACUGCUGGAAUUGGUAUUGCUGCCAAUUAGUUACAGUACCAACUGCAGUAGUUGGAUCUUCUCAUGCGAAUGCAAUUACAGCAGUUGGGUCUAAUUACACUAAAUUAAUUCAAAAAUUUAUGGUUAUAUGUAUUUCCAAUUGCACUGCAGUUAAAAAUACAUGCAACCAAACAACUCCUUAUAUGAAAAUAAGUGAAAAGAGCAAAAGUAAAUAUGGGGUAGAGAAAGGUUUUAGUUUCUUUUGAAAAUUUCUAUUUCACUUUAUCUUUUCUUAUCUUUUUGUUUAGCAAUUAAAGCAUUGAUAAGUUGAUAAUGCUUUGUACAGUCCUAUAAGAAGUAAUUUUUUUUUGGUAAAAUACAUGGAGAACUUACCCGCACUAUGUCCUAUUUUUAAUCGGCUAUUCAAUCUUUCAAAAUUUUAAUUUUGUUAUUCAAUUUUUUUAUUUAUUUGAUUUGAGUCAAUUAACGUAUUUUGAUUUCAAAAUUUUAAGCCAGCAUCAUUGUGAUUGAUGAUGUGAUAAUGAUUGAGGUACCACAUCAUUUCUAUAUCAACAACAAAUUAUUUUAGUCAGGCAAAUUGUGUUGCAAAUUUGAUUGCAAUAAUUUAUAAAGCUCGAACUAGAAAUUACAACUAAUUAAACUUUGAGAACCAAAAUGUCACGCUUCUUAUAUUUUACUGACCAAAAGUGUCAUUUAGCCUUUUCUCUUUGCUACAUUAUUUCUAAAAUAUUUUUUAGGGACUAACAAGAGAGGAAGAAAAAAGAGAUGCCACAUAAUGUUUGAAGGUAAAUAGAAAGUGAAAUAAAGGAGAAACUUCAAAUACCAGCUCGUAGUUUUACACUUUCUCACUUUAGUAUUCUGUUGUUUAAAAUGUAUCACUUUAAUACCCUGUUAUUUUAUUUUUCUCUUUCCGUUAUCCUCUCCAUUAAUGUUUUUUGUUCAAUCAGUGACAAAAUUAAAACCACAGAAUACUAAAGUAAAAGUUUGGUAAACCAAAGGAUAUUAAAGUAAAUAUUCGAUAAACCGUAGGUUGAGUAUUUGAAGUUUUUUUGUAUAUGAUUUAGCGAAGAGUCCACGGAGAUACUGACGGAAAAGAGAAAUAAAAUCAUAGGGUAUAAAAGUUAUACACUUUAAAUCACUAAGUAGUAAAAUAAAAAAAUGUGAAACCUUAAAAGGGUGGUAUUUGAAGUUUACCUUAAAAUAAAGGAACAAAGCAAUAAAUGGUCACAUGCCUUUAAAUCCCAUUGGGUAUAGGUAUUCAAUAAUUGUACCACAAACUGGCCUUGCUAUUGGACAACUACCAAAAGAUAAACACUAUGCUAAGGGUACCCUUAUAAAGGGUCCUACAAUGUUGAUGAGUUGGCCCUAUUAUUAUUAAAUACAAAAAUAUUAAACUUUAAACCAUAAAUGCCAUAAUUAUUUUCUAAAUUCUAAACUCUACACACAAAAUUUGCUAAUAGAUUAUAAGAUAUAGGAAAAGCUUCAAAAACUUCUCUUGUCAUUUCGUACUUUUUCACUUUAGUACAUGUAGUUUAAAGUGUAUUAAGUUAGUACCCUGUAGUUUCGCACUUUCUCACUUUAGUACCUUGUGAUUCAAAGUGUAUCAAGUUAGUACUCUGUGGUUUCAUUUUUGUAUCAAGUUAGUACCCUGUGGUUUCAAUUUUCUCUUUUUAUUAUCCAUUUUGUAGCAUUUUUUUCGUUGAAUCGGUGACAAAGUUAAAACUAAAUGGUACUAAAAUGAAUAUUCGAUAAACCUAGGUAGGAUAUUUGAAGUUUUUUGUAUAUAAUUUAACGAAAUAUUAAACCACAUGGUACUAAAGUGAGAAAGUGCGAAACCACAUGGUCAAUUCGGGAUUACUAUCAUCUAAAACGACUUAAAAGAAUGAAGACCCCCGUCCUCCUAAAAAAAAAUAGUAGUUGUACUUAGGUUUAAACGACCGAAACACCUGAUCGAGCUGGGGUCGCUCGUUCGCUCGUUAUAAACGAGCCGAACACGAGCUGCUCGUUAAUUAUCAGCCAAAAAAUUCAGCUCGUUUCGCUCGUUUUAUUAAAAACAGAGCUAACACCGAGCUGGCUCACGAACUGCCAACGAAUAAUAAAUUAAAAAGAUUAGAUUAAAUAAUAUAAAAAAUAAAUUAAUCAAUCUUUUCUAUAACUUUGAUCUAAUAUUGAAACUUUAUCAUAUAACGAUCUUUAUAAUUAAGCUCGCAUUUAGAUUUUUAUUUGGCAAAUAAAAUUAAUAAAAAUAAUAUUAUAUAUAAUUAUUAUUUAUAUAUAAAAUUAUAAAUAAAAAAAUUAUAUAAAUAUAUAAAUAUAUGUAUCGACUGUAUCUGACCGAACACCGAGCAUCGCUGACCCCGAGUCGUGUUCCUCCCGUUUAAAUAAACGAGCUGAAAAAAUCCAGCUGCGUGUCGCUCGUUACUAAAAACGAAGCAAUCCGAUCUCGAGCUCAUUCGAGUCGCAACACGACUGACUCGCAAACAGGAGCUGAUGCCACCUCCUAGUUUACUUUAAGAAUCUUACUGUUAUAGAACUAGCUACUAUAUACAUUCUGAUUUGAGUAUUUAUAUUUGGGGUAGUUUUACUCUGUUCCUACUAAAAAUUAAAAUAUUAUAGAUACCCUUACAAAAUUGUAAAUCACAAAUGCCCGCUUGUAAAUACUUAUCUUAAUUUCAAUUAGCCCGGGACGUAUUAACCUCCGUAAUUAUAUAGUUUUAAUCCAAAUUUUUUAUUGUAUAAAAAUAUAUUAAAUAUAAAUUGACUAUUUUGCCCUUUAUUUUGAAUCUCAUGGUGGUAUAGCCGAUAUUUAUUCUCCUAUUAACUAAUAAAAAUAAUGUGUAUAAGACGCCUCAAAUGUAGAUUAUUUUGAAACAGGCCCAUAAACUUUUUUUUUUUUAACUUUUCUUUGGUCCAUAUAAUUGACAAAUUUGUCAAAACUAAGUUGUUCAUUUGCUAUAAGUUAUUUAUUCUUUAGAAAAAAAAGCCAAUCAAAGUCGUCAUAAAUUGAUAUAAUUGUUGUUUAAAUUUACAAAAUUCUUGUUUUAAUGCUUGAAAUAAAUCAAAGAAAAUAAAAGAGAAGAGAGUCAAAAAAUAUUUAAUAACGUUAAAGAGCUAUUUCAAAAUAGCUUAUCAUUGAGAGAGUUCCAUAUAUUUUCUAUGUUAGAAAAGAUAGCUGCAUUUAUUUAAAAUUAUUCCGUAAUUUUUCCGUAACAUUUCAUAAUUAUUCUGAAAUUAAUUUUUAUAACUAAUUUUAAAAGAUUUGCUGACAAUUUUUAUGGGAUUGCUUAUUAGCAUCUAAUUAAAAAAUUUUUAUAGCAAUUUGCUUAAUAUUUUUUCAAAAAAUAUAAUUAAUUCACUAAUAAGUAUAAGUAAAGUGUAUUUAUAAGUUAAAAUUCAGAAGGCAUUGAUGAAAAGUAGAACAAGGGGUAUAAUAGGAAUUUGCUUACUGUUUAUUUCAGCUUGGAUGGAAAGUUACAUAUAAAGGUAGUUUUAAAAGUUUUUCAAAAUCAGAGGGGUAUUUAUUAUAUUUCAAUUUUAUAAGGGUAUUAGUGAAAAUAUGUACUUUUAGAAGGGCAUUGAGUAAACUUUUCCAAUAAAGGUUUAUAAGAGCAAUUGUGAUAAGAGUAAAACGGGUAUAAAGUUUGUUAGUUAAAAUUUUAACGAAAAAUUAUUUUAAAGGUUAUUUGAAAGCUUUUCAUAUAUAGAGGGAUAUUCAGUAUAUUUUAUUUUUUAAAGGGGUAUUUAUGUAAAUAUUAGUUUUUGAAGGGGUACUUAGCAAAAUUUUCCUUUAUAUUUUAUAGGAAAAACUUUAAAUUACCAUCCAUGUGGUUUCAUACUUUCUUACUUUAGUACCAUAUGGUUUAAAGUGUAUCAAUUUAGUGUCAUGUGGUUUCUUUUUUUUUAUUAUCAAUUCCAUUAAUUUUUUUUUUUAAAUAAGUGACAAAAUUAAAACUAAAGAUACUAAAGUGAAUAUUCGAUAAACCUAAAUAGAAUAUCUGAAGUUGUUUGUAUAUAAUUUAACGAAAUAUUAACGAAAAAGCUGACGAAAAGAUAAAAAUAAAAUCACAUGACACUAAUUUAAUACACUUUAAAUUAUAAAGUACUAAAAUGAGAAACUGUGAAACUACAGGGGUGGUAUUUGAAGUUUACCCUAUUUAUAUUAUAAGAAUUUUCAGAGGCAGGAAAUGGUCCCUGCAAUUAUUGUGCAUGGUUGAUGGUUGAUGGUACUUGUUGUGUUUUUUUUGCCCAAAUAAAAGCAAAAAAGGAUGUACCAUAGACACUGAUCUCUAUUGGUACUUAGUCUCUUGAACAGUGACAGUGCACUUGUACUAAACUACUAAUAGGUUUGUUAUACUGGAAAUUAGAAAAAAUCAUUUUGUCAUGCACUGCUAAUAAUACAGAUGCAUACAAACAGAAAAAAAAAUCCAACAAUACCAAAAAUAGAAAAAAAAGGGGCCAAUUUGCAUAAAAAAUCCACUAAUUUUGGGUUUUUUAUAAAAGUGGGCCACCUUUUUCGUUUUUGCAGAUUCGGUCUGAUUUUUCAGCAAACUGACCAAAAUGCCCUUGUAUCUUUUUCUCUCUCCUUUUUUUUUUUGUCGUUCUUUUUCCCUUUCUCUUCCCAAAGAGCGGCGAGGUGGAAACGUCACCCCCUCCCCCGGCGACGUCGCCCUCGCCCGCUCCGGCGACGUUGCCGGCAACGAGCCCCUCUCCCCUGCCUCGACCCGAAUCCUCCGACCAAAAAGGGGGUGACGUUUCCGCCUCGCCUCUCUUUGGGAAGAGAAAGGAAAAAAGAACGACAAAAAAAAAGAGGAGAGAGAAAAAGGUACAAGGGCAUUUUGGUCAGUUUGCUGAAAAAUCAGACCGAAUCUGCAAAAAUGAAAAAUGUGGCCCACUUUUGCAAAAACCCAAAAUUAGUGGAUUUUUUAUGCAAUUGUCAGAAAGAAGAGAUCUAUAUUUGCAUGGUUGGACAAUUUCUUAUAGGAAAAACUUCAAAUACCCCUCUUAUGGUUUCACUCUUUUUCACUUUAGUACCAUGUGGUUUAAAGUGUAUCAAAUUAGUACUCUGUGGUUUCGCAUUUUCUCACUUUAGUACCCUGUGGUUUAAAGUGUAUUAAGUUAGUACCCUGUGGUUUCGUACUUUCUCACUUUAGUACACUGUAGUUUAAUAUUUCAUUAAGAAAAAAAUAAAACCACAUAGUAGGGCCGGCAAAUGAGCGAGCCGGCUCGCGUUCGAUUCGAUAUUUGGCUCGCUCGAGCUUGACUCGAAAUUAAAUGAGCCGAGCUUGAACAAAAAAAAAGGCUCGAAAUUUAUUUCAAGCCGAGCUUGAGUAUUACUCGGCUCGUUCGAAUUAGGCUCGAAAAGCUCGAAAAGCUCGAAUAUAUAUAUAUAUAUAUAUAUAUAUAUAUAUAUAUAUAUAUAUAUAUAUAGUAGAGCUACUAUGCUAUCGAAAGUAUAGAGGAUAUGGUGCUUUCGAUUUUUUGAUUCUUAGAUCAACCCCUUUAAUCAUUUCUUUGAAUUAAUACUAUUAUUAUCUUGUAGGGACCACUCAAUCCUAGGGAUAUUAUUUAAUCCUAGNNNNNNNNNNNNNNNNNNNNNNNNNNNNNNNNNNNNNNNNNNNNNNNNNNNNNNNNNNNNNNNNNNNNNNNNNNNNNNNNNNNNNNNNNNNNNNNNNNNNNNNNNNNNNNNNNNNNNNNNNNNNNNNNNNNNNNNNNNNNNNNNNNNNNNNNNNNNNNNNNNNNNNNNNNNNNNNNNNNNNNNNNNNNNNNNNNNNNNNNNNNNNNNNNNNNNNNNNNNNNNNNNNNNNNNNNNNNNNNNNNNNNNNNNNNNNNNNNNNNNNNNNNNNNNNNNNNNNNNNNNNNNNNNNNNNNNNNNNNNNNNNNNNNNNNNNNNNNNNNNNNNNNNNNNNNNNNNNNNNNNNNNNNNNNNNNNNNNNNNNNNNNNNNNNNNNNNNNNNNNNNNNNNNNNNNNNNNNNNNNNNNNNNNNNNNNNNNNNNNNNNNNNNNNNNNNNNNNNNNNNNNNNNNNNNNNNNNNNNNNNNNNNNNNNNNNNNNNNNNNNNNNNNNNNNNNNNNNNNNNNNNNNNNNNNNNNNNNNNNNNNNNNNNNNNNNNNNNNNNNNNNNNNNNNNNNNNNNNNNNNNNNNNNNNNNNNNNNNNNNNNNNNNNNNNNNNNNNNNNNNNNNNNNNNNNNNNNNNNNNNNNNNNNNNNNNNNNNNNNNNNNNNNNNNNNNNNNNNNNNNNNNNNNNNNNNNNNNNNNNNNNNNNNNNNGUUUAGGGCUCGAGCUCGCUCGACUCGAAAUUAGGCUCGCUCGAGCUCGGCUCGAAUUAAUUUCAAUCCAAGCUUGAGCUUAAAUUUAAGCUCGAAAUUAAUUUCAAGCCGAAUUUGAGCCGAGGUAAGCUCGCUCGAGCUCGGCUCGUUUCCACCCCUACCACAUAGUACUAACUUGAUACAAAAAUAAAAUCACAGGGUACUAACUUGAUACAAAACUAAAACCAUUGAGUACUAACUUGAUACACUUUAAGCCACAGGGUACUAAAGUGAAAAAGUGCGAAACCACAUGAUACUAACUUGAUACACUUUAAAGCACAGGAUACUAAAAUGAAAAAGUGCGAAACCAUAGGGAGGAUUUUUGAAGUUUUUCUUUUCUUAUAUUAUAGAAAGAGCGAAAGAGAUGUAUUUUACUGUGAAGAAACAAAAGUACAAAAUUACAUUUUAUAUUUUCGGAAGUAAAAAAUUAAGAGUUUUAUGGUGAAAUCAAUAUUCUUUUGUUCCAACGAGAACUAUAAAAAAAUCAUCAGAAAGAGCUUUUAGGGAAAAAAUGACAGAAUUUUAAAAAAUAUAUAGAAAUCUUUGACCAAAUUUUUUUGUGCAAUUGCUCUGAAUGAUUCGAACCGCUCAGAUAAUUGGUCCACAACUUCUGCCCUGCUGUGUAAUCCAAUUGGGAAUUAUAAAAUUCAAAUACUAGUCAACAUUUAACCGUUGAAAUUAAUAUCUAUCAAUAGUGGGCCCCACAACCAAAUUGGGCUUGGAUCUGAACUCCUGUUCACAUGAGAACCCCACCCAAUAAUAUAAAGAGAAAAAACUUCAAAUAUCACCCCUAUAAUUUCGCACUUUCAAUUUAGUACCUGUAGUUUUACUUUUUUAUUUUUAUUAUUCAUUCCACUAUUUUUUUUUUUCGUUAAAUCAAUAACAACGUUAAAACUAAAGAAUACUAAAGUGAAUAUUCGAUAAACCUAGGUGGGUAUCUGAAGUUUUUUAUAUAUAAUUUAACGAAAUAUUAACGGAGAAGCUGAGGAAAAGGGAAAAAUGAAAUCACAAGGUAUUAACUUGAUACACU